AUCGUCGGAGCGGACCCGGUCGAGGGGGCCGAGAAGCCCAUCUUCCAGUUGGCCUCGGCGUCGCAGGUGAUGCUGCCGGAGAGCGAGGAAAUGGUGGCGGGACACCUGAGGGAGAUCGGUCUGACCUUCCACCUGGCGAGCAAGCUUCCGGCCAUCGUGGGCAGCAACAUCGAGCGAUGCCUGGAGGGGGCGUUCGAGCCGCUGGGCAUCACGAACUGGAACGAGCUGUUCUGGAUAGUGCACCCAGGGGGACGGGCCAUCAUCGACCAAGUGGAGGCCAGGGCGGGGCUGGCGCCGGAGAAGCUGGCGGCGACGAGGCACGUGCUCAGCGAGUACGGGAACAUGCAGAGCGCGUCGGUGCUCUUCAUCAUGGACGAGAUGAGGAAGCGAUCGGCGAUGGAGGGCCACGCCACCACCGGCCAGGGCUGCCAAUGGGGGGUGCUCUUCGGCUUUGGCCCCGGCCUCACCGUCGAGACCGUCGUCCUCCACAGCGUCCCUAUCUAGUCCGUGGGGGUUGGGAUCCCCUCCGUGAAAACUACAUUACAUCGGUGGCUUUUAACCGUUAUUCUUGUACUACACUGCACGCUGCUAAGACUCGUGGGAGGGGCGAUGUCGAUUAAAUAAGGAAUUGGAUGGAUCUCCCGUCCCGGACGACUUCAGGGCGACGGGGACUCCAUCAUACGUGGUGUGGAGCAUGAUACGAUUAAUGUUUCUUCCUCUUCUUUUUCCUGUACAAUCCAUCGUAUGCUGGUUUGCGUCAAUGGAAAACUAAGCCAAAGCCUCGUGGGUCCUUUCGGGGUAUCAAGCAAAGAGGAGAUUGAUUGCACGCACCGUAACGAGUGUCUUUACCCGAUCGAUAAGCUCGCGGAUCCAAGAGAGGGAAAAUAGAAGAAUCUCAACGACUCGAUUAUUCAUGUUUUCUGAAUCAAAAAUAAUCGUUGCCAUCGAAGUAGGCGUGUGGUUGAGAUUUAAAAGGAGUCGUCCGAUGGACGGUCAUCCUUUUCCAUAUUCCGACAUAGAUAUCAUAAAAUCUGGACCGAUCCUUUGUCGGACUAUACCAGAGUCUUUCCUCCUGUCGGAUACAAACGAAGACCAACCCGGCGCAUGAUUCCGGAACCGUCUUUUGACUCCACCACCGUCAGUGCGUAUUGAUAGGAGGGAAAUGGAAUGGCAGCUUGCUGGGUGGCCUUCUCCUCGUUUGAUCACCUUCAACCAAACCAAGUCAAUUGUCCGCGCAGCCGAACCACGAUGAAAAGGACGCUUAGCACUGCUUGCCCUACGGAACAAUCCAAAACCACAUGAGCCGGUCCCAACAUGUCAAAAUAAAGAAAACGCGAGUCUAUUUUGUUCGUUCGACCCUUGGGAUGCGAUGGUUGGAGACCGGCUUGGCAGCUUCUUUAGUUCUACAGGUUCCACUCGAAGGGUCAACGCAAAUUAAAAGACCGGCAUCCCAAUCUUCAAACCAAAUACCUGUUUGCGUAUCGCAGCAUGCUCGAUGAAUUGCUCAUGAAAACUACAUAUUUAUCAUUUAUUGCGGGCUUCGGAUGCUCUUAAUUCGGAGCGUUUUGUAUCUACGAUUGACUCGGUGGGAGAUGCAUGGAUGUCUUAGUCUUAGCUCAGCAACUAUGGCCACUGUGUUUGCCAUUCCGGGUGGGUUCGGUCAAGUGUCCGAAUCAAGUCGGUCACGCCAUCUAACACCGCGAGGGAUGAGGUAAGCUGACGAAUGGACAAAGGGAUAAACCAACGCUCGGACUGAUGCCUGAGAACCACCUGUUGCCGACACAUGGACCUACUCCUUGCGUUGGCAUCACCUCAUGCUGACAUCCGCAACGUUUUUCACUUGCUUGGGUGAGAGCACUCCUUUUCGAAACGACAUUUGUCCAACCUGUACGUCCUCGAAUGGGUGUUGGGUAGAACGCAAGCGAUUGUUAUCAACAUUAACACUCGAAUGAUCCAUGCAAUGGUGGAGAGAGACGUGGGUGGACCACAGCAUUAACCUCUUCCUCCAAACCAAGUGGCGAGGAUCGGAAGUCUAAUUUGUGGCUCGAUCGGGUUGGCGAUCGACGUCCGGUCACACACGGGAACAUACGCGGCGAGAAACGAGUCGGGAGCGGUUGGUGAGGGCCUCGUCUGAGGAUGACUUCCUGUCGCAGUAUCUCCACCACGACGCUUACGAUAUUUGCGAUGGCUCCCAACAAUUAUUCCGUGGAUGUCAGCAUUUUCUCCAAGAGCGUUGAGAGGUAAGCCGCAGCCAUCCACCGUAAACGGGAGUAGGUGGAGCAAAUGUUUGCUAGCGCCAAAGGAAGACCGAGUACAAAGAAAGCAUGGUCAUCUACAGAGGGAAGAAACAGAGGAGACACGGCCAAGUAAGCUUGCUUGAAGCCUUACAAAUUCCAUGAGAUAAGGUUACCAGAAAGGAUUAUAGCGACUGCGCACGCAUACAUUAGGAAUCCUUGGGAAAGAGGGAAGGGGUGAGGGUGGGUACAAGCGGGGGAUCGUCUUUCCCUAUAUAUAUAUAUCAUAGAUAGCCGAAGGAGGUGAGUCACUUCCAAGAUCUAGAUUUUGGAGCUUGAGCUUCGACGCAGGUAAAUAUGUCCAGCCUCCACGCCAUGCGCAAGGCACAGAGGGCUCGAGGUCCGGCCACCAUCAUGGCCAUCGGGACCGCCAACCCUCCCAAUCUCUACGAGCAGAGCACGUAUCCGGAUUACUACUUCCGCGUCACCAACUCCGAGCACAUGCAGGAGCUGAAGCACAAGUUCCGGCGCAUCUGUAAGAGACUCUGUUCUAUAUCUUUCUCUGAAAAUUCUUGCGAGUCGACCGUAGAAUCUUUCUGCGGAGAUGACCACACACACACACACGCACACGCUUGAACGCUGCGAUUCACUCUUUUUUGCCAAUCCAUUCGUUCUUCUUCGUCUUCGCUUAUUUAGCGUCCAUGUCAGACUCGCUCAGAGCAGAUAUAACGUAAUCGUCGAGGGAGGUUAACUAACUUUGCCGUUCAUGUUUCCUGCCUAUAUACGGACCAUAACGUAAUCGUCGGGUUAAACGUGAGUCUUCAACUGGCGUCUUUAUGGUACUGCCUAGGCGUGUUAGCAGUUUAAUUAUUGCAACAGAUCGAGAGGUCCACAAUUAGUCUGCAUUACGAGUCACUGAAACAUGCAUGCAUCCAAACCAGAGCAAGCAAGAAAAGAGCUACUAACUUGGCUCUGUUUUUUGCUUGCCAUGUUCGUCGGACGAAGGCGAGAAGACCAUGGUCAAAAGACGCUACCUCUAUCUCACGGAGGAGAUCCUAAAAGAACGGCCAAAACUGUGCGCCUACAUGGAGCCAUCUUUCGACGACCGGCAGGACAUCGUGGUGGAGGAGGUGCCCAAGCUGGCCAAGGAAGCCGCCGCCAAGGCCAUCAAGGAGUGGGGCCGCUCCGUGUCCGACAUCACCCACUUGGUCUUCUGUUCCAUCAGCGGCAUCGACAUGCCCGGCGCCGACUACCGCCUCGCCAAGCUCCUCGGCCUCCCCCUAUCCGUCAACCGCAUCAUGAUCUACAGCCAGGCCUGUCAUAUGGGCGCCGCCAUGCUCCGCAUCGCCAAGGACCUGGCCGAGAACAACAAGGGCGCCCGGGUGCUCGUGGUGUCCUGCGAGAUCACCGUGCUCAGCUUCCGAGGCCCGGACGAGCACGACUUCCAGGCUCUCGCAGGCCAAGCGGGGUUCGGCGACGGGGCAGCUGCGGUCAUCGUGGGCGCAGAUCCCAUCCAAGGCGUGGAAAAGCCGAUCUACGAGAUCAUGUCGGCCACGCAAGUGACGGUACCGGAGAGCGAGAAGGCCGUCGGUGGCCAUCUCAGGGAGGUAGGCCUGACCUUCUAUUUCUUCAGCCAGUUGCCGAUGAUCAUCGCCGACAACAUAGAACAUAGCCUGACCGAGGCUUUCAAGCCCCUGGGGAUCGCCAACUGGAACGACAUCUUCUGGGUGGCGCACCCGGGGAACUGGGCGAUCAUGGACGCCAUCGAGCGCAAGCUGGGGCUCCAGCCGGAGAAGCUCAGCACGGCGCGGCAUGUUUUCUCCGAGUACGGGAACAUGCAGAGCGCCACUGUGUACUUCGUGUUGGACGAGGUCAGGAAGCGAUCGGUGACGCAAGAGCGGUCCACCACCGGUGACGGACUGCGGUGGGGCGUGCUCUUUGGGUUUGGCCCCGGGCUCAGCAUCGAGACCGUCGUGCUCCGCGGUGUGCCACGCUAGGGAUUUCCAUCCCCCCGUAAUGAUGCACGUAAGUAAUCAUCAAUCUAAUCUAGUGUGCUCUCCAGAUGUGUUGUGUGAAUUGUGACGACGCUGUAAACGAAUCACGCUCUUUCCUUGCUGGGUUUGGCCAAAAAGAAGGGAUACGAUGGUGGCAUGUAUGUACAUGAGGAACCAUCCCGUGUUCAAUGAAUUGAACCCAAAAAUAUCCCUUUUGAUCGUACGGAGACAUCCUUGUCGAUCGCCAUCAUCUUGAACGAAGCCCAAAUUUCAUCGGCCGACUCGUCCUGCGUGUGACAAAUGAAAUAUCGAGCGACAAUUGAUUAGAUGUCUUUACAUAGAAUAGCUUCGAAAUUUCCGAGUAAACUGAGAGUAAUCUGUAGCUCAGCUUCUGCUGGUGCACGCAUUUUUUUUGCUUUUCGUAGUUAGUUAUGAGCAAAGCCAAGUGGAUGACAUGAGUUUGGGGAAAGCCAUGCGGUAAAAUGAUACCUGAUUAGACUACAUGGAGUCUAGUCGCUGAGCAAUUCAAAGAUCCCCGGUAGUUACAUCUCCAUAAGGAAAUUUCAUAUGGGCAAUUGCACCUGAUGUGGGGGUGGGUGUUCAGAAUUGAUUGGCCAAACACAAAGGCAACUUUUAAGUGGGUGGGUUCUUUCCUUAAGUGACAAGUAAAAGACAACGGGAAAAAAAGAGGCCACGCGGCUCAUGUACUUACUCUCUCUCUCUUUCUCUCAGGAGAGCUGCCAUGUGGGACCCGCACUUCAGCUCCGACGCACGGGAAAUGAAGUGCCACGUUAUUUACAACGGAAAAACUAUCGCUCGAUAAUUUAUUAUGGUAACAGAUAUAUAUAUUAUUUCUUUUGAGAAGCAUCAAAUUCUCUUUGAAUGUGCAUGCUAACGCUAUUUGAAGUGGGAUACAAGAUGGAACACCGGAAGAGGCGUGAGUACAGCAGAGACGCAAAGAUGCUUGAAAGGAACAACGAGGACGGAGUCUGAAUCUGAAACUUAAUGGACGCACCUCGAAUAUAUAUAUAUAUAUAUAUAUAUAUAUAUAUAUCCACCGUUCGAGAAGCUGGAACCAUGAAUUAAACAGGUAAGUACUGGACCUAUAAUGCCCUGUGUGGAUUUUUGUUGGAAACCCGGCAAAGAACCAUAAAAUUACACCUCGUCGUCCUGGGAUCAGGUGAUCGUCCGGGCCUGGGAUGAGGGAUUCUGGAUUUCUCUGGUAAUGCUAACUUAAACCGAAACACAGCAUAUUUCCACUAUGAGACCAUAGAGAUCUCUAGUAUUACACCAAUUAAACCGGAAGAUCUACAUACAUACUAUUAGCUAUACAUCAAGACGUUUCUACGUGCUUGAGAUCUUGGCGCCUGCCUCGUCGUGGUGAUGGCCGUUCAAUUAUCGUAGUCCAUGAUUCGAAAGUGGACUCAGGAAAUAAAAUAUGGCUUCUUCAAUAUGAGGGGCGGGCAGAGCCAAUCGCACUGGUUUCUUUGAAGACCAUCACAGAUCAGAGAAGAAAAACCUGGCCAUGUAACUUUCCAUCUUUAAAAAAACAUGUAGAACUAAUCAAAGGCCUAAGACAUUUCUAUAGCUGUUUCCGUGCACCAAACAGGGGAGAGAGGUUGGUGAAGACCACUUGUGUAUGUAUAUAAUAAUAUAAUGUUUUCUGCAAAGGUUGGUGAAGACCUUGUGGAUGAUAAUGAUGGUUGCGUGGACUGAUCGUACUCAGGAAGCGAUUGAGUCGGGAAAUGGAGGCCAGCUCGUGACGGCGUAUCGGAAGCCGCAGAUGUGCGUGAGUUGCAUGGGCGGUAGGUGUGCGUGCUCAUCUCCGAUUUCAAAGCAACCGGUGGUGAAGUCAUAUCUCGACCAAUUGGGUAUUAGUGACUGACUCGUUGGUUCUACGUUCCACCAAGUGCCCACACAUCGCCAUCGUCGCUUCUCUCUCUCUCUCUCUCUCUCUCUCUCUCUCGGGUUUAAGCGCACGCUUAAGCAAGCCUUCUUUAUCCGCUACCAUAGUCUGUCUUCAUUUUUUUUUCUUUGUGCGACCAAACGAAUAUAUAUUAUCAAUCAAUAAUUGAUAUAUCUGAUGACAACGUUUCAGGGUGACGGAAUGGCUGACCGAAUCAAUUGCCAUCGUCAUCUACGUGAGGAACCAGUCUAUAAGUUUGACUAAAGCAACAAUGAAGGUAGGUCUGUUUGCACUUAGACAUUCUUUUUAUAGAAUUAUUAUUAUUAUUAUUAUUAUUAUUAUUAUUAUUAUUAUUAUUAUUAUUAUUAUUAUUAUUAUUAUUGAUGAGGGUAAUAAUUAGGGUAAGACUCGCAUGACAUCCGCUAGCCCAAAUGACGCCCCACGGGCCGACAGCACCUGGUCAACACGGACCAGAACACCUACCAAGGCACAUUAACACUCCCCUCCGGCUCAACCCCUCACGCCAUGCCAACGGCGAUGUCAGACGCCACUAGGAGUACGAUCAUGCUCCAUGUGGGCAGGCACACCAGGUAACGGUAAUUCUUACUAUAAAAACCCUCGCGCCGACAGCACCUGAUCAACACAGACCAAGAACACCUACCAAGGCACAUUAACACUCCCCUCGGCUCGAUCCCUCACGCCACGCCAACAGCGAUGUCAGACGCUAUCAGGAGUACAAUUCUACUCCCUGUGGGCAGGCACACCAGGUAACGGUAAUUCUCACUAUAAAAACCCUCGCGCCCCAAAAGAGGGGAGAGAGGAACAAAAGAAAACCCCUACUACUCUUCACUAAUUGGAUUAUCGGAGGGGUCGGGUCGAGUCUCCCGACCCGACCUAUGUGCAGGGACAAAGACGGGGUGCCUCCCAUCGCGUGCCCAGGCAAGGAGUCCCCUCCCAGAGGGAAUGACCGACCCGCCCCGAUCCAACCACCGCGGUCGGCCACCUCAGCAGUCUCAAAGGUCGUUGAGGAAGAUCCCCAAUCAUUCAGACCCGAACCCAGUCACGUCGACCUCGAGACCACGACUUAAGGUUGUUUACACUAACAAUUAUUAUUAUUAUUAUUUCCCUCCUAAGUUGUUUUAUUAGUAAUUCUCGACGAGAUUAUAAUAACGAUGCCUCAUCACUUUGUAGUUUGGUUCCAGUGGUUGGGAAAAACGAUUCAUAUAGGUUCCAGCGGAGUGGAUGGAUGUUAACGAAAGUGGUGUACAAUAAUAUUAUUUCAAUAGAUAUUUAUAUAUUGAUAUAAAAAAUAUUGUUGACAUCUUGAUAUGGUUUGGACCCAAAUACAUAGGAUUAUUCGAGAUGUCUCAGAAUGUUAAACUGUUGAUAUGUUAUUUUUACGAAGAUCAAAGUUAAUUGAAAGCAUCCAAUAUUUUUCUUUUACUUAUUGUUUGUUUCUAUGUCACUACAUCCAUAUUUAUUUGACAUUAAAAAAAUAUUUCUUAUAUUUUACGAUAAGUUGACCUGUCAAGUUAGCUAUUUUUAAGAUUAUUAAAAUAGGUUCUGAUUGAAUUUGAGUCGAACCAAUCCAAAGCCGUAAAACUUUUUUAUUUAAUUCGAUCGAUCAUUCUAAAAAAUCUGCACCUCUAAUUAAUGCACAAUCCAUCUAUCGUUUCACGAGCACAAAGACAACUGAAAUCAUACAAUAAUUGAUAUCUCGACAGGAAUCCAAAUAUGUCGAAUCACUUAUAUCAAUGAUAGAUUUAUUGGUAGAUCAACGAAGAUUAUCACAGUAAGAAAGAUGAGAAUUAAUCGUGGAGUCUACAGUGGCAUUGGUCUGGCCGAAGACAAAGGCGAAACUUUAUUUUUCUCGGGGACGUUGAUCGCUGGCCAAGAGAAAAAGGCUUAGAGAAAUCUAACAGCAAGUUCAUAAUUAUAAUUCGUCAUCCAUGAGUACGCGCGUUUCUGUUCAUGCUUUGAGGUCUUGCCGAUGCUGGUGGUAGUGGCGGUGGCCGCCGAAGGUCGCACCGAAGCAACCCAAGAGUCGGGAGUUUGAAUACUCGAUCGGAAUCGACCAAGUAUGCUUCCUGCAAAUAUUAGCAAGCGGAUAUAUCCGUGCUGAGAUCUCAGUCGUUAAUAGCUUGUUUGUUUUUCCUCAUCACAUCCGAACAACUCGGUGGAAUACUCUGCGUAUGUCAACAGGCUAUUCGAAGGGUCUUGUUGUUUGUCACCGGGGAUGAAAAUGACGACGGCGGUACAAGGAUUGGCUUGGUUUUGAGAGGCGGAGCCGAAUGAGUGCCAGUCCAUUACCGUGAACAGGAAAACCCUGGCCAUGUCUCUUAACGCUAAGAAAUCAUAUACGUAGAGCCAAUUCGAGGCCUACGAAGCCAUAGAUGUCUAAUACUGUUUGCUGGAUGCAAAACGAGGCGAGAGGGGGUUGGUGGGAUGCAGUGGGUAGGUGAAGACCACUUGUAAAUAAUCAAGUAUUUUAUUUUCUUUCUUUCUGAAGAGGUUGGUGAGAAUACCUAAACCAAUAUAGUAUGGACUCACCCCGCAGUUGAAUGCAAUGGGUUGACUCGGGAAGAAGGGCGAAGUUGGUGGAGAAGCUCCGGAUGACGACGACGUACAUAUAUCCAAGCAAUGUGUCAUCCAUCCAUCUAUUAAUGUUCAAUAGCCCCGCCACUUUGGUGCUACCGAUUCGUUCAACGUUCAAAGUAAAUGCCUACUCGAUCAACGGAAGUUGGCACGCCUAACCGUGAUGGAAACAGAGGAUACUGUAACACUGACACCCGAAACACCCUAUAUAAAGCAUAUGACGAAGGAGAAACUCCCCGCUCAUCAUCCCACUGUUUUAUCCCGCAUCACUCAUCCGACGUUUUCGCUGCAACUAUGGCUGGUAUCAGUACCUUCCGAAAGGCUCAAAGACCUCAAGGUCCAGCCACCAUCAUGGCCAUCGGGACGGCCAAUCCCCCCAACCUCUACGAGCAGAGUACUUUCCCGGACUUCUACUUCCGGGUCACCAACUCCGACCACAUGCCAGAACUCAAGGACAAGUUCCGCCGCAUCUGUAAGUUUAUAUCUGUGCGAUACGAUUCUUCGUCGAAACAUUCCUUUCCUAAUCGGAAAAAGAAAAAGGCUAACAUGCGCUGUCGAUCGCUCUGUACGUGAAGGUGGCAAGACCAUGAUCAAAAAGCGGUACAUGCACCUCACGGAGGAGGUCCUCAAGCAGAAACCUGGAAUGUGCUCCUACAUGGACCCCUCCUUCGACGAGCGCCAGGAAAUCGUGGUGGAGGAGGUGCCGAGACUCGCCAAGGAAGCCGCCGCCAAGGCCAUCAAAGAGUGGGGCCGCGACAAGUCCGGCAUCACCCACUUGGUCUUCUGCUCCACCAGCGGCAUCGACAUGCCCGGCGCCGACUACCGCCUGGUCAAGCUCCUGGACCUCCCCCUAUCCGUCAACCGCAUCAUGCUCUACAACCAGGCCUGCCACAUCGGUGCCCAGAUGCUCCGCAUCGCCAAGGACAUCGCCGAGAACCACAAGGACGCCCGUGUGCUCGUGGUGGCCUGCGAGCUCAACACGCUCAUCUUCCGAGGCCCAGACGAGCGCGACUUCCUGAGCCUCGCAGGCCAAGCCGCAUUUGCGGAUGGAGCAGCAGCGGUCAUCGUCGGCGCGGAUCCAAUCCAAGGCGUCGAGAAGACCAUCUUCGAGAUGAUGUCUGCGGAACAAGUGACCGUACCCGACUGCGAAAAAGCCGUCGGAGGCCACCUCAAGGAGAUCGGUCUCACCUUCCAUUUCAUGAACCAGCUUCCCAUGCUCAUCUCCAACAACUUGGAGAACUGCCUCCUGGAGGCGUUCAAGCCAUUAGGCAUCACCGACUGGAACGAGGUCUUCUGGGUGUCACACCCGGGAAACUGGGGAAUCAUGGACGCCAUCGAGAAGAAGGUGGGGCUCAAGCAGGAGAAGCUCCGCUCGUCGAGGCAUGUGUUCGGUGAGUACGGGAACAUGAUGAGCGCCACGGUUCUCUUCGUGAUGGACGAUGUGAGGAAGCGGUCGGCGGCGGAGGGGCGGGCGACAACCGGCGAUGGGUUGGAGUGGGGAGUGCUCUGCGGCUUUGGACCGGGCCUCACCAUCGAGACCGUGGUGCUUCGCAGUGUGCCUCUUUAGAUUUCCCAGCAGAAACAGGACUUUUUAUGUACUGUAAAUAAAAAAAAAGGACCUCAAUUACGCUAAAAUGUGUGUGUUCUUAAAAUAAAAAUUAUAGCUCGUAAGUCGCUAGUUUUUUCUUUCGAUUUUUUUGUUAGUAUGUUCAUCGGGUUGCUCAUUACAAAUAAACCUCCACCAUCUAUCACACUACUGUAAUCGUUUUGAUCCAUGAUAUAUGAGUAAACUUGACCAGUUAUAUAUAUAUAUAUAUAUAUAUAUAUAUAUAUAUAUAUAUAAUUGUAAAUCUGUAUUGCUGAUUAUUAAUUAAUAUUUUUCACUAUAUUUAUCUUCCUGUAUUUACCAUCGGCAUGCUCCGUGAUAAAGGUUAUAAAAACGGGUCAAAGUCCUCCGACUACUAAACUAAACUGUGGCCUCUUAAUUAACAUUUUUAAUCUUUCAAAAACAAAUGAUCGUAUUACAAUUAUCGAUCUAUCUAUAUAGGCCUAAAAUAUAAGAAAAAUAUUAAUUAAUAAGAAAGAAAAUAAAAUAAAAUCAUGUCAACAUAUUAUUCUAUCCGAUCAUCUAAUGUUUUAGAAUUGUCCCAUCAAUUAGUUUUUCUUUUUUUGGGUAUAUGAUGGUCUUUCAUUAAGAUACAUUGUUGGUUCUUUAUUCUCUUUUCUUAUUUUUUUAUUAUUCAUUAUUAUCGAUCUAAGAAAUAAAAUCAUAUAUUAUAUAUCAGUUGAAUCCAUUCAUCAUCAACCCAAAACACUUUGGAUUGAUUCUUUUUCUUUAGAUGUCUAUAAAAUAUGAUUUGAUUUUCAUCAUAUAUAUAUAUAUAUAUUAAUGAGAAAAUAAAUAUAGUUAUCUAGUUAUUAACCACUCAAUAGAUGAUUUCUCUUGAUCGAUAAUACACUAAUGAUCAAUUAUCAUCCAACACAUAAUCAUCACAUUGAAGCUAUCAUUUAAGAAAAAUAUCUAAGUCACUUUUUAUUUGUCUGACCGCAUGAACCAAAGUCUAAGAUAGAUCGUUUGAGGUUCUCCUGCAUGUGAAUAAAAUGUCAAAAAGAAAAUAUUGGGAUAAGUAUAAAUUGUUUUAUCUGAGUUUAUAUAUAAAAGCUAAUCUCGAUAGUACAUCGAGAGCUCACUCUUUAAGAAAAACUUAUAUCUACCGAGCGAUCUCGAUCACUAACUUGAGUAUUGAAGAGAUCAGAUUGAGAAAUUUUCUUUGACAUUAAUCUUAGUAUAGAUAACAUUUCGAGAUCUCAACAUGAUUAUCUCAGAGCUACUUUAGAGCCACCUUAGUCACCAUCUCGAAUACGUCUACGUCCUUGAGUUUGGACUACGUUGAGUUAACUCAGACAUCAAUGAUGUUUCCCGUAACACCUCACUUGGUGAAAACGCUAGAGUUUAGCAACUUGUUAUAGACUUUUAUGAUAUUUUUUCUACCGUUUUAGCUAAUAUUUACGUGUCUAUGUAUCUAUCGAUAUAUUCGAUGGAGAUGUGGUGAAUCUAACUGUUCCUGGCUGUAAGAUGAGUACAGAGUACGUACUACUGUACAAUUCUUUUCUAUACGAGAAGAGGCCAAUCCUGGACGCGGAUCAUUGAUCAACCCAGGAAGCAUCCUCCUUUAUUCGCAUUGCUUUCCCACCAACUUUUUGUUUCUUUUACUUGGAACAUCUUGCUUUACUUUAUUCACAUUGCUUUCGUACUUUUUGUUUCUUUUCUUUCCAACAUUUUACUUCUUUUUUUUAAUUUAAUAUUUCCCUUUGCACUUAUCACAGGGCACUAACAAAUAACAGAUGGCCUGUUUGCACAUCGACUCCGGUGGAAACCACCGAGACUUCGGCGGUCCCAUCGGACACGCGUUGUUAGAGGAUCAAAAAGGAAUGAGAGCCAGAGGUCAGGCAUCUCCAAUCGGACAUCCCAACCAUGGAGUCCACAGCAAGAGCAUUUGGUCUGAUCUGGAAUCAGCAGACCCAAUCAAACGCGGGUUCCAGUUACAGCUCUUCACGAACGUCACCCAGCACGUACAAACCCUUUUUAUCUUCUCGAGAAGUCAAUAGUUCACGCAGGAAAUAGUUUGUCGAGUAAUCUUUUUCCAGGAUGCAUGCCGAACACGUCCAUUAGUUGACGUCAGGCAAGCAGUGACUAAAAAUUCCAUAGUUUUGGAAUCUGUAAGCAGGCCGGGAAUUGGAUGCCGAGGAGCUUCCCACAGAUUAUGCUUCUGGUCGUUUGGAUGGUGACGCAUCAUCGGCAAUGAGAUAGUGCAGUCGACAAAACUACACCACCGUUCAGCACCAGAGGGAGGGGAAGGUUGACGAUUUCCAUAACUUGAAAAUGUCAACAAAAGUUAGUCAAUUGUCAUGUGCUCCAUUCAACGUUUUGUCGGUCAACACUAAGACUUGGCUCCACCAACCCACUACAAUGAUUUGAAUCCAUGUUGCAUGAGAAGCUGCGCGACCAAACGCCGGGGCUUCCAUAUAAGAGGGUGGAGGAGGGGAGCCACUCCACACCCUGCAAGUUGCUAACUUUCACUUGUUGUUACCGCUGGUUCUCGUCCAAGUCCUAGAAUUGCGAAGAUGGUUAGCAUCGAUGCCUUCCGGAAGGCCCAAAGACCUCAAGGUCCGGCCACCAUCAUGGCCAUCGGGACGGCCAAUCCCCCCAACCUCUACGAGCAGAGCACUUUCCCGGACUUCUACUUCCGGGUCACCAACUCCGACCACAUGCCGGAACUCAAGGAAAAGUUCCGCCGCAUCUGUAAGUUUACAUCCGUGUGUGUGCUCGCGCUGCGAUUCUUCGUCUAAACAGUACUUGAGAAAAGCUAAUUCGCUCUGUUGCUCGCGCUGUUCACGAAGGUGGGAAGACCAUGAUCAAGAAGCGGUACAUGCACCUCACGGAGGAGGUCCUCAAGCAGAAACCCGGAAUGUGCUCUUACAUGGACCCCUCAUUCGACGAGCGCCAGGAAAUCGUCGUGGAGGAGGUGCCGAGGCUCGCCAAGGAAGCCGCCGCCAAGGCCAUCGAAGAGUGGGGCCGCGACAAGUCAGGCAUCACCCACUUGGUCUUCUGCUCCACCAGCGGCAUCGACAUGCCCGGCGCCGACUACCGCCUCGUCAAGCUCCUCGGCCUCCCCCUAUCCGUCAACCGCAUCAUGCUCUACAGCCAGGCCUGCCACAUCGGCGCCCAGAUACUCCGCAUCGCCAAGGAUAUCGCCGAGAACAACAAGGACGCCCGUGUGCUCGUGGUGGCCUGCGAGCUCAACACGCUCAUCUUCCGAGGCCCAGACGAGCGCGACUUCCUGAGCCUCGCAGGCCAAGCCGCAUUUGCGGAUGGAGCAGCAGCGGUCAUCGUCGGCGCGGAUCCAAUCCAAGGCGUCGAGAAGCCCAUCUUCGAGAUGAUGUCUGCGGCACAGGUGACGGUACCGGACUGCGAAAGGGCCGUCGGAGGCCAUCUCAAGGAGAUCGGUCUCACCUUCCAUUUCAUGAACCAGCUUCCCAUGCUCAUCUCCAACAACUUGGAGAACUGCCUCCUGGAGGCGUUCAAGCCAUUAGGCAUCACCGACUGGAACGAGGUCUUCUGGGUCUCCCACCCGGGGAACUGGGGAAUCAUGGACGCCAUCGAGAAGAAGGUGGGGCUCAAGCAGGAGAAGCUCCGGUCGUCGAGGCACGUGUUCGGUGAGUACGGGAACAUGAUGAGCGCCACGGUUCUCUUCGUGAUGGACGAUGUGAGGAGGCGGUCGGCGGCGGAGGGGCGGGCGACAACCGGCGAUGGGUUGGAGUGGGGAGUGCUCUUCGGCUUUGGACCGGGCCUCACCAUCGAGACCGUGGUGCUUCGCAGUGUGGCUAUCUAGAUUUCGCAGCAGAAACAGGAAUCCGGUGGACUUGUUCGUACCAUAUUAAGUGAAUUAUUUCCGUUUUAAUUCUUGCGGUGGAACUCCAUUUGGCUUCUAAGCUUAAAUAAAAAGCUGCACAGAGUUAACGUACAAAUUCUUGUUUGAUUAUUAUGUUCGUCUCGUUGCUCAACACCAAUGAACAUGUGGUUUUCAAUCUAAGAUGAUGAUUAUGAUAGAAUGAAGAAUGAAGUCGUAAAGUUUAAAAAGCAUGCAUCGAUUAAUUUGAUAUGAUAUCUAUUUAUACAUGUUGAAAGAGAGUAUUUUGCUUAAAAAUAUAAGAUUUUCUCAUGCAGUUGGAGAAAUCUUAUAUACUGUGCAGUUGAAGAAAUCUCUCUACUAUCAUAUUAAGCGUAUGAAUAAUUCGAACCUCACUCACUCUAAUUCUUUGAAGUUUAGUAUUGCUCACCUAUUAAUUGACAAUUUUAUUGCAUCCUACCUUUUCUACGAAUAUUUCCCUUGCGUACUUCUACAACUCAAUUUCUAGACUUAAACGAUGAUCUCUGCUAUAAACAUUUAGCAUCGGCAAAUGAAUAUACCAUUCGAUAUGUCAAUCCCUUAUCGUGGAAUGAACUGAACUCAGAACAUUGUCUAUCCCUUCGGAUGCUUGCUGACCUUUUCUCCGUGAGAGCAUACGGUUUGGCAUCUUCCUCUAUCAAAUCAUCUAACGAAGGCCGUGAGGUUCCUGCUCAUCUUCGCAGAGAGGUGACCGAAUUGGUCGCCGCAUCGCUUUCCCGAUGUCGCGGUUGGCCAGGGGAAGGUGAUGCACAUUUUCACUGCUCCAAGCUGGAAGGUUACGGUCCUCAUCGGGUGCCGUCGAAGCAUAAUUAAGAGAAGGAUACCCGAGAGAUGUUGAUGACUUCUUGUCAUCGGUGCAUAGCUUAUAAUUCUUCUUCAGUCUCGUGUUGUUGUCCUCUGCAACUUUUGUUGACCAUUCGUUUCUAGUCUUGAAGGUGGGAGCCGUCCUCGGUAGUUGGACGGGGCCGGCAUUGAGUUGAAAUUUCGACGAGCAUAUAUGAGCGACAUUUGUCAGUUGCAAUGAAAUUAUGCGCAUUGACUAUUUACGAGUCCCUCCGACCGACCGACCGUCGAUGCAAUUGCAAUGGAGCUGCACGCGGAAGACGGAUUAGGGUGCGGUCUUUCUAAAAGAGUCACGAAAAUAAUAACAAUGAUUGGGAUACUAGUAAAUUUCAUUCAGUUUUAACUGUCAAGUAUUUGAAUCUAUCCUAAAUUUAUUUCAUAUGAUAUCAUUUUUUAUUUAUAUUUGAUAAGAAAUAUAAAAUCAUCAGCUCAUCAUUCGUCACACCAAUAACAUGUCAGGUUAACACUCUUCAGUCCACCAAGAUAAAAGUCCAGAAGUUAACUUAGGUAAGUUAUUGAGUUAUUGAGAUCCUCAGGAGGUGUAAAAUAUUCAUAGGAAUAUUUUCGAUCGAUUAUGAAUUGGCUCUUUAGCGAAAUAUUCAUAUGAAUAUUUUUGAAAUAUUAGAAUGUAGUUUGAGUCAGUUACGAAUCGACUCUUCGACGAAAUAUUUAUAAGAAUAUUUUUGAAAACUUAAAAGGUAGUUCGAAUCAAUGAACUACCUUCCUAUAAUAUUCUUUCUCAUUAAGAUUAAUAUAAAAAUUUUUAAUUUUAUAUUAGAGAGGAGAAAUAGAAAAAGGUGAAACUCGGCUACUAACUUAAAGUAUCAAAACAAUCAACUUGGGUAACUCUCUGACCUCGAUCUUUGUACAAGAAAUGAGUCUAGAGAAAUCGAGCUCUACCUUGGUCGAUUCCUCGUAUAUGGAUUGGAGUCGUAUUGAUAUGAAUAUCAAUAAUAUUUUUCUUUUAUAAUAUUCUUUUCCAAUAAAUACCCUAGCAGAAGGGAAAACACAAAAACCCAAAUUUUGUUAGUAUUAUAAGAAUCACAAUGGAUGCCGAUGAGCUUUUCAUAUUCCAAAACGAAACCCGAUCUUCGUAUAUCUUUUUCUCCUAUUCAAUAAUAUUAACUCAACGUCGUUCUUAUUAAAAAAACACCCACGAAGUGCUCAAUAUCGAAUUAGUUUCAUCUUAUUAGACAUCGACUCGAAAGACAAUUGUACAGAAACUCCUCGACGACUAGUCCGCUACGCACCGCAGGCGAGUUCACAGCUGUAGACAACCCCACGCAGAUUUCAGUGAUCCAUUCGACGUCGAAGUAAGAAGCAUGGUGUUGAAGACGAAGUCCGUUUGCUCCAUCUAUUUGGUGAAUGCACGCAUCGCGAAGUCGAUAGGCCUUUCUCGCCUACUGACAAGGCAGUGCAUGCGUACGUCCAACGUAAGUAUAAUAUGUAUAUAUGUAUAUGUAUAUGAUCAAUAAUUAAAUGAAGGUUACGUAAAUCGUUUGGGAAUGCGUGCAAGCUGAUCUUGCCAAAAGCGGACAAGAUGAUGCAACAUGAGCACCUAUUCAAGGAACCAUCGGUAUUUCUGCCCAGCGGUUGGCGUGGGUCGGCCAUGUCCAUCACAUGUGCUAUAGAAGUUGCUAGGCAAGUCAAUGCCUACCCAGUCAACCACGCCCUACCGCGUCGUUCAUGUGACAUGGAAACGGGUAAGCGUACAUCAUCACAUACGUCCUUUCUUUCAUGCAUGGAUCAAAAACUGAGGGCAAACAAGAUCUUGAACAAUUCAUUCAUGCAUCCAACCAUUAAAUUCCUCCGUUAAGUGGGUGGGAAGAGACCGAGCGAUGGACUCGGAGCAGCAUCGAUCGAGUCAGCAAGCAUAGUCUUACUUUGUUUACAUUGCUUUCCUAUCUUUUAACUUUCUAUUUUGCUUUAGUCAAAUUGCUUUCCCACCUUUCUGUUUCCUCGCUUUCCGCUGGCAUCAGCGGUAAACCACAUGGAUGAUAUACGAGCCACGCGUCGUCCGUGUUCGAUUUGGACAUUGCAAUACACGGUUGUUUGUGAUUGGCUGCAGCUUUUACUUACCCAAAAUGAUACAGACUAGAACGAAAUCGCUCGGUCUCAUCUGGCGUAAUCAAACAUGGAGUCGAGUUCCUCCACCGUUCACAAACAUCGUCGAGCAAUCUUAAAAGCCUUUGGUCUCUCUCCGUUCUCAAAGAGCCAUUAGUCAUAGUCUCGGAACACUUGCUUUCAAUAGGAUGUUGUUUGACUAAUCAUCCAUAGUGGCGAAAUGUUGAAGAAAGUGGGGUUGGUGAAGAAACUGCCGCAGACUGUGUUGAUCAAGUUUUGGAUUGGUCAGAAUCAGCAAUAACCACGGUUGGUGGGUAGGCGAAUUCGAAACUCCCUCAGUCAAAUUAACUCUAAGCACGUGGGGAACCACCUACGGUCAACGUUUUCAUCGGUCAGCAGGAAGACUUGGCUCCACCAACCACCCUUUGCAUGAGAAGCUGCAAGGCAAAAACACACCAAGGGUAGCUGGCUGCUGAGGGCCUUCGUAUAAAUGGGCGGAGGAGAAGACCCACUCCUCCCAUCCUGCACUCUCUAACUUCACUGCUGCUUUGAUCCAUUCCUUCCUCGCUUGAUCUCCUUCUGGUGCUCGCUGCUCCUUCUCCUCCCAGAAUUGUGAAGAUGGCCAGCGUCCAUCCAUUCCGCAAGGCCCAAAGAGCACGAGGUCCGGCCACCAUCAUGGCCAUCGGGACGGCCAAUCCUCCCAACCUCUACGAGCAGAGCACUUUCCCCGACUUCUACUUUCGGGUCACCAACUCCGACCACAUGCCGGAACUCAAGGAAAAGUUCCGCCGCAUCUGUAAGUAUACAUCUGUGUCUGCUGCGAUUCUCCGUCUAAAAAAGAGAGAAAAAGCUAACUUGCUCGCUCUGUGCGUGAAGGUGGGAAGACCAUGAUCAAGAAGCGGUACAUGCACCUCACGGAGGAGGUCCUCAAGGAUAAACCAGGGAUGUGCUCCUACAUGGACCCGUCUCUGGACGAGCGACAGGACAUCGUGGUGGAGGAGGUGCCGAGGCUCGCCAAGGAAGCCGCCGCCAAGGCCAUCGAAGAGUGGGGCCGCGACAAGUCCGACGUCACCCACUUGGUCUUCUGCUCCACCAGCGGCGUCGACAUGCCCGGCGCCGACUACCGCCUGGUCAAGCUCCUCGGCCUCCCCCUAUCGGUCAACCGCAUCAUGCUCUACAGCCAGGCCUGCCACAUCGGCGCCCAGAUGCUCCGCAUCGCCAAGGACAUCGCCGAGAACAACAAGGACGCCCGUGUGCUCGUGGUGGCCUGCGAGCUCAACACGCUCAUCUUCCGAGGCCCAGACGAGCGCGACUUCCUGAGCCUCGCAGGCCAAGCCGCAUUUGCGGAUGGAGCAGCAGCGGUCAUCGUCGGCGCGGAUCCAAUCCAAGGCGUCGAGAAGCCCAUCUUCGAGAUGAUGUCUGCUUCACAGGUGACGGUACCGGACUGCGAAAGGGCGGUCGGAGGCCAUCUCAAGGAGAUCGGUCUCACCUUCCAUUUCAUGAACCAGCUCCCCAUGCUCAUCGCCAACAACUUGGAGAACUGCCUCCUGGAGGCGUUCAAGCCAUUAGGCAUCACCGACUGGAACGAGGUCUUCUGGGUCUCUCACCCGGGGAACUGGGGAAUCAUGGACGCCAUCGAGAGGAAGGUGGGACUCAAGCAGGAGAAGCUCCGCUCGUCGAGGCACGUGUUCGGUGAGUACGGGAACAUGAUGAGCGCCACGGUUCUCUUCGUGAUGGACGAUGUGAGGAAGCGGUCGGCGGCGGAGGGGCGGGCGACAACCGGCGAUGGGUUGGAGUGGGGAGUGCUCUUCGGCUUUGGACCGGGCCUCAGCAUCGAGACCGUGGUGCUUCGCAGCGUCGCCCUCUAAUAGGGUUUCUCACCUCCAAAAUUAUGAAAUUUUUUUUUCUUUCUUUUCGCAUUCUUUCCUAUUUGAAUUUGUAAGAGAAUAAUGUAAACUACAUAACGUUGUCGAUGCAUAUACCCUUUUUCUUUUCUUUUUUUGUAUUUCUGAUUUUUAACAGUGUUUGACUGAUAUAAGAAAAAAUAUCAACCCAACAAACAACAUCGUUUUCUUUGUUUUAACCGCACAAUAAUUGACGCCUGCCAAUUAAUGCCAGAAGAACCUAUAAGAAAAUAAAUAAGAUGACUGACGAUUAGUAGUAUUUCGGGCAUGCGGUGUAAGAAUGCAGUAGUAAAAUAAUAAUAAUAAUAAUAAUAAUAAUAAUAAUAAUAAUAAUAAUAAUAAUAAUAUUAUUAUUAUGAAUAGUUAAUCCCGCAUUGCCGUAUGGGAUCUGAUUUGAAGUGGGUGGACAUCGAGUUGUGCCAUCGUGGAAUAUUCACCUCAUGUGGAUUAUCUGAAAAGUUUUGCAGCCAGCAGGGCAUCGCACCACACAUGGGAGUCUAGAUUUGACCCUCCGGUUGCCUCCUGCAAACGUAUUAGGAAACCCACUCAACCCAAGCUACGAUCCUAUCUGAAUUAUGAGAUUUCAGGGAUUCCAUAAAACGUAAUAAAGAAAGACAAGACCAAACUAGCUACGAUCCUGUCUGAAUUAUGAGAUUUCAAGGAUUCCAUUAAACGUAAUAAAGAAAGACGACCAAUCUAGCUACGAUCCUAUCUGAAUUAUGAGAUUUCAAGGAUUCCAUGAACCACAAUAAAGAAGGACCAAACUAGCUGCGAUCCUAUCUGACUCGUGAGAUUUCAGGGAUUCUAUAAAACACAAUAAGGAAAGACCAAAGUAGCACAAACUAGCAUGAUGAGGCUUGUCCGCAACAGCUUCAGAUUUCAACGGGAAUGUGUAUCUUACAAUCACCACAAUAAUAUACAACAUUACGAAACAUUUGGACGUAUACAACAACAAUAAUAUACUUCAGCUGUCUACGGCUACGGCUCAUCCCUGAGCCAGUGUUGAAUCAUGUAGACAACGAAAGCCCCACACAACAUCACUGACCCCAGAACAACCAAAAUCUGGACCCACAACAAUGAAAUAAAGGCUUCUAAUACAAAAGAAUGCCACAGCCAAUACCAUGCAACACCACAACAGGACCCCAGUAGAGCACCUACAAGGACUUGACUGUAAGUGUGGAGCUGCUGUGAUACCCGAAGCCAUGACUGCAUCAACAAAAAAGAUAGAAAGGGAACACAACUCAGUCAUGAAGUCAUAUUUCAUUAGACAGAGAAAGCAAUACAAGAGAACAAAAAAAAGGUUAGGUUAUGUGUGUUAUCCAAUGAAUCUGCAGAGAUGGACCUUGAUGUAUAAAAACAUGGGACAAAUAUAGCUAAGAGAUUCAAGAGAACAGAGACAUGGAUGCAUGUAUCAAAUAGCUCUUACACCAUAUACAUCUUCAAUCAGUUUCUAACAGAACAUUCGUACAAGUUUAAAUGCACUUGGAGAUCACCAAACUCUUUCAAAUCAAAUUUCUGUAUGUGCUUGGUGAGCUGUCAGAUCGAUGAUGCAUAACUGUCUAGUUGUCUAUUUUGAGGUGAGGACAGGAUCGUUUCCAUCUCCCCUGUCUUCUAAGGUUCUUACACAGCUUUCCUAUCUACUUCAAUCUUAAAGAUUAAUUUCUAAUUCUUAGCAGACUACUCAAGCAAAACACAUCGUCGGACUCAUAUAUGAUAUCUACUUCAAUUUGUGCUGAUACUCUUUUCGCAAAUUUAUUGGUAGAUACUAGUCGAUAUCAGUUAAUCUAAAUACAACAUUUAAAUAAGCUAAAAUCGUACUAUUAUAAAACUUAUAGAUUAAAAUAUGUAGAUUCUUAAAGAGCAUAAGACUGAAUUAAGUGAUCUAUCAAAAUGAACUACCCUGAUUGGAAGUUACGGAACUUAUUAUGGAACAUAAUUUAAAAUGAAAGUUAAUACAACAUGCAUGCCUUAUGAGCUAUUCUAAUAGUAGAAGUUUCUGUCUGCAUCUUAGAUUAAUGGUUUGAAGUUAUGCAUGGGUUUCUAAUGAGGGAAAGGUUGUUAGCAAAGAGAAUAGUGGGAGCCUAUAAAUAGGGCUCCCAAUUCAGAGGAUGAAGGGGGCACGUGUCCCCUUGGAUCCCUUCACUCAGCAAGUGAUAUUUGCAGCUACAAUUGAGAAUACAUGGCAAUCCUUUGCCAUCCUAAUUCAUCUAGAUAUAUUGCUACUUAGAUGUAUGAUUUCAGAGAACAUAAAUUUAAGUGUUCUUCCUUGAACUUCGAGAGAACUGACAACACCUGUACUUGAUAAGGUAAACACCAAACUUUCCAAUCUUGAUUAAUUUAAAAAUAUAACAGGAACUGGAAUUGAAAACACAGAGCCACAUAUCUAUAGAUAUUUAACAUCGACAUUUGCGGAACUUGGAUUUCUUGGUCAAGCAAAAGGUUACUGGAUGAUUCUUGCACGCAAAAAUGUGCUCUCCGAUCAGAAAAUCUUGUACGCCAUAAAAUGUAAAGUGGAAAUAUCAGAAACUUUCUUACAAGAUAAGAGCCAAACAAUAAGGCAAUACUUCCAAUAGACACCGUGAAUGCAUCUAUCCCCAGAUGAUUGACCACUGCAUCAGAUGAAAACCCAUGACAAAGUAUUACACAUAAAACAUAAAUAUGGCAUGUGAAAAAAAAAAACAAAAUAAAGUAUCAAAAUGCCAUAUAUUUGCAAAAGGCACUCUCAUCCUAGAAGAUGUCAAAUUGACAGAAAAACCUUGAAUGACAAAAGAUGCAUAGUCAGAAUGCAAAAUAAUCAUUACUUGUUAUGAGAUUGCGCUCUAGAAGUAUCAAAUAUAUGCAGUCACGGAACAUCCUCUAAAAUGCUAAGUAUUACAUACUAAUAGUAACAACUCUGAAUAAUAUGGUAAGGUUGUCAAAAAUGGUUUAACCACAAGAUGUUUCGCAUAUGCAUACAAACAAUACAUAAGCAGAGUGAACCAAGAAGUUCCAAACCACAGUCACCUAUUCCCGGCUCUCUGUUAUUUAGGUGAGGGACAUGGAUCAAACAUCAAUUAUAUUGAUAACCUAGGGACUUGGCUGGAAACCCUGAUCAAAAGGUUACAAAAACUUCCAGCACCUACAGGAUUCCAUCAGUCCUUAAUAAACCUGAAUCAGUCUUUUUUCUCAGGAAAUGUCCUGCGAUGUUAUGAUUAAAAUAGUGAAAAUUCUUAAACUUUAUUGAAGUAUGCUAGAUCACCUCAUCUCCAAAAUCUAUCCUGUUGUGCUGGCUUUCUCCGUUUAUGUUAUAAUUUGGCAAAGGAUGCACUUAAUUAUUACAACCAUUUCAACGCUAGAAGUAUUGUCAUAAGGCAUGUACAAGAUUGCAAUUGUAGAAGAAUGCAUAUUGAUAUUCUAGAAUGUCAGUGUUACUUGGCCAGUCGCAAAAGGCUGCCAUGUUCCUGUGCUCUGAGAUAAACAUCCCAAAGUUAUGGCAUAGGACAUGUGUAUGACUGUUAGAUAUAUGCAUUUCAAAAGCAUGUAGAUGUUUUUCAAAGACAGAUGAUUUCUUUAUACAACUUCCAAAAGCUUAAGUCAGUCAUUGUCCUAGAUUAUUCUAGUCAUUGAAAUAUUUAGACUCCUAAAAAUACUUUAACAGUAAAAAGUGAAAAUCAAGUGCCCAAGUGGCAGUAAUACUUGCAUAUACUUUUUUCAUGAAGGGAUAAAAUGCCCAUCGCUUAAGCAGGCAGCCUUCCAGGCUCAGCCUUUUGUUCCCCAAGCAUAUCGCCUUUACUCUUCCUUUUUCUUUAAUACCAUAUUUUGUCAUUUGAGGACCAUGGUCCAGACAGAUCAGGUAAGUAGGUUACUGUUUCCCCAUAACCUGCAGAAAAAAACUUUUUGCUUGGUUCAGACGGUAAUCCUACCCUUGGUUCAAAAUUAACGUUUGGUCCGACCAGGGAGCAAUACUAGUCCAAUAUUGAGAUAUAAAACCAUGUUCAGAACCAAGAAUUAUUACUGCUGUUGUUGCAUUCAUGUCAGAAUGGACUUUCAUACACAUUACAACUGAGCUUAAUAUAUCCAUGCCAUGCCAAAAAGCAUCUAUUCUUGAUCAUCACAUUUAGUUUGUGUAACUAAGAGUAAAGAUCUUAUGUUUUUAAUAUAUCAAUCCAGACCAAACAUACUAAGAGUGUUACUAUACCACAACAACCGAAUAUUUGACCCUAAUCUGACCCAACUGUUAAAGUGGGAAUCAAUAAAAUAUGAUUGAUUGUGAUGUUGGUUGGGUAUUGAUCUUUUAAAUUUUUAAUACUGCAUCUCAUAACACAUGAUAUCAAUGGGUUACUAACCGACAAUGAAGCCUGAAUGGUGCAGAUGGAUGCCAACACCCUAGACUUCCACAUCUCUUUGACCCUUUCCAUUUAGAACAACUGUGGUGACAUGACAGUGUUCUGCGCCAUCCCAACAGUACAUAUUGUUUUACCAACCUAUAUAGACAUGUACCAUAGAUUGUGUUGUGCCAAGUAUGCCACAAAGAUAUUUUCUAUAUGAAAUCAUACUAUUGUUACCACAAUAGUAAAUCCAACAUUUCUAUUCUUACUACAAUAGUGAACAUGACAUCUUUUCUUCGGCUGUAUGUAAAUAUCAAAUGUUUCACUUUUGUAGCAGGCUCUGAAACUUCACAUUAUCAACUCUGAAUUAUAAAAUUGUCCAAGCCAUAACUCCCAGUCAAAUAAAAAUCGAACAUGUCUUUUUAUGCCCCAUCUCUUGUGGGGAUUGAAAUUGAACAAUCCGCUCACAGAGAGUUGUCUUUUUCAAAGACGUGAUGAUGCGUUGACGGUAAUACUGCUUCUUGAUAUCUCUAAACUAAUUGUAACUUUUAUUAAAGAACAUGUAAAAGAUAGUUGUCCUAUGAAUAAGCCUAUUGGAGAAAAGAUAUUUUCGUUUCUCCUGUCAGCAUCAGAUAGCCGCACUGCUAAAAUUGUAAAUUUGCAUUUCGAUUCACAUACAACAAUUAAAUCUACCAAUUAGUAAAAGCUUACUUGAAAGAAUAAAAAUUGCUUCGAUAUAGAAGAUGGAUUGUGCAUGAGAAGAUGGCAUUCCAGGAUCAGGUUUCAAUCCAGCAACAGGUCUUUCGUGGUUCAAUAUCCUCUUUAAUGUAACAGAAAGCGAAACAUUUAUAACCGAUCCCGUUGCGUCCCACAAGAUCUCGGCAUCAUGCUUCCACAGAAUUGCGAGGCCAAAGAGAGCAGCCACUAACCACUUGCUCUGGAACCAUAAAAAAACUGGUCAAAAUAAAUUCAGUUUAAAGAAAAAUAUGCCAGCAACAUGGGUGCCGGAAACAAUAAAAUAGAAACAUAUAAGAACUGGAUCACUUGUACAUCUGAAAGCUUUGCACAAAUAAAUGUAUUUUCCAUAUCCUGCUCAAGUGCAAGACCACAAAUAAAAUACUUUCUAGCGAUGCACCAGAUGCCAUCAGAUACAGUGAAAUCAAGAAUCUUAUUCCAAGUCGCAUCUUCUAACUGUUGAGAAUGCUUUCCCUCGGAGUGUGAAUUCGGUCCCUUCAAUUCAGUGAAUAAAGUCACAAAAGUUAUAAAUAAUUGCCAGGUGAUGAGGUCUCGAGAGCCGCUGCCUAACCCCAUCAUGGAGAAUAACCAUGGAGAAACAUAUAAAAGUUGGUACAGAACGAUUGCUGAAAGCCUUGGAAUCGGACUAACCGUUCCAUUGAGAACCGCUUCGAGGUUUCUCCAUGUAAAGUCUCGAUCCAAGUUGAACGGCCCCGUCCGUAGCAUCGCCUCCACCUCCCCCGGUGCAGUAUCCUCCUCGAUAUCCUGAUCGCUCCCUAAAGCUGCCAGUCUAGUCAACUCGGUCAUGCUACCUCUGCGACCAGACACCGUUGACCUUCCGCUGAGAUGGGAUUUUGAUCUUGAUCCGAGCCGAGGGGUCAAAAUUGGAAUUUUAGAGGCGUGGCGCUGAUGGUACGAGUAGGGCGAGAGGGGUUUCAACGGCGGAAGAUCGAUGGCGGCCGAGGAGGGGAGGGGGAAAGACGGCAUCUUGUGGACGGGGUAGAGGUUGCAGCGACGAGCAUCCUAAGGAAGGGAAUAAAAAGAGGCAUUUGUAGGAGUAGAAGGCAUCCACAAAUUUGUCUGUUUGGCGCAUCGGAACACCCUUUCUAAAGCCGUCCACAGCCUUCCGGCCGAAGGGGAUGUGGUCUCCGCCGCCCACCUCUUUCCCACGAGGUUUUGUUGUGUUAAAAAUUUGGUUUUUGGUGGAAAAUUCUAAUUGAAUACGUUCGUUUUAAAAGAAUAAUUACGUUUCUACUUUUACCUUAUCCGCUAAACACACAAUUACUUUCCUUCUGAAAAGAACACGUGGAACGAAUUAUGUUCUCACUGUCAACCCAUCAAUUAUUACUUUAAAAGAAAUAUAAAUUUAUUAUAAAUAUCAGAUAAUGUGGACGUAAAAAUAUUAUGAGAAUAAAGGAUUUAUGGUUCCAAAUAAUUAUUCUAAUUUAUUAAACAAUAAUAAAGAAACAAAGAAAUUUCUAUACUGAUUUCCUUUGGGUCCGUAAAUAAAAGACACAAAUACAUUAGAUAAUGUCAAUAGCAUUUAAUACCUACCAUCAAAUUGUAUAAUAUUUUUUUAAAUCCUUCGACACAUAUUGUUGUUGUUGUCUGAGGUGUCCACUCAUUCUUGUGAUAUUGUAAAGCAAAUGGUAUCCACACACCGUACCACUUUAUAUAUAUAUAUAUAUAUAUAUAUAUAUAUAUAUAUAUAUAUAUAUAUAUAUAUAUAUAUAUAUAUAUAUAUAUAUAUAUAUCGGGAGUAGGCUUUUGUUAAAAGCUUCUAAAAAUACGGAGUGUGUUGGGCUUGCCUUCCGUCUUCUUGUCACGAAUGUACUCGGCUAGGUUUCUCCGCGGAUCAUCUUAACACAUGUCCCGCGCUUCUAGAAUAAUCUACCCACCACUAUAUAUGAACCACUACCCCGAAGUUUUGAGAGAGGAAAGAGGGAGGAGAGCGGAGGAGAGGCGACAUGGAUCUUGAGGCCAAUUCCUUCCUAGGAGAUGGAUGUUGAAGCGAACUUCUUCUCCUUCCUCCCUCCCUCCGAUCCUUGAGUCUUAACCCUAGACGGAGAGAUGGUCGGCGACGAUGGAAUGGCGGAGAUCCUCCAACUCUUCUGUGCGCGAAGCAAUUUCCAUCCGGAUCUUUUCCUAUCGAGGUAUUUGUAAAGAUCCCCAAAUUACAAGCCCUUGGAUUCUUGACUCUUUCGCUUGUGAUUUCUUUUGCUUCUGUUGUCACGACAUUCGUUUGCAAGAAUGUUGGCAAGAUGUUGUUCUGCAAGAAAAGGAAAUGGGGAUCUCGAAGAGUAUCUCCUCGAACCGUCUUAAGGGCACUUAAUUAAACUUUAUAAUCUAUACCGAUCCUUGAGUCUGACCCCUGAAUGAAUAAGCGACAUAAUAUGGUGGAGAGGUAGAAGAUCCUCUAGAUCUCCUGCGAUGUAUUGGUAAACAUCUCCCAAAAGUAAUCGUUCUUGUAUUCUUGAUUUUUUUUUUAAUCUUGAGUUGAUACGUUUGAUUGUUGAACUGGUUCCUUUUGGUAUUGCAUAACGUGUCCAGAUUGUUUGUGAUUUCUUUUUCUUUUGUUAUUAAGAAUCCUAACAACUUCACAUGUCCUUUCCAAAGAUGUUGUUAGAAUGUCCUUCGGCAAGAAAAUGAGGAUUGGGAUGUGAUUCAUCAUCCUAAAGGUUGAUGAAUUAGAUUAUAACCUUUACCAACUCACUUGAUUCCUCUUUGUUUGUUGUUUGGACUUCUCUUGCAAGAAGUUUAGGUAUGAAAAGUUAGUAAUCGUCUGUCCCAGAAAUUGAUCAUCUGAUUCUUGUGGUUUUUAUUGUCAUAAAUUACCUUUUGUCUGGCACUUCUUAGUGCUAGCCUAAAUGAAAUAGGUUAUUUUGUUAACUAAAUGACACCAUCAUAUUUUCUGACCUUGGGAUCCAUUGGAUCUUUAAUUUGCUUGUUCCUAUUCCUACCUUGGUCUCAUCUUGGGGUCUUAAGACAUGAUGGUUCUUUCAUGAUCUCCUGGUCAUGUUGCAUGUUAUGUUCACAUCUGAGAAUAUAGAAGAAGAUACAGGGUUAUUCUAUGUCUUACAUAUGAAGCUAGCACUGCUUGUGCUUCUUAAUCUGAUCCUAGUGUGAUUAUCAUACUUUUAUGCUACUUUUCUUUAAUUAUUAUUCUUCACAUGAUGAUCAAGAUCAUAAAUAAUGUCACCCCUUUGAAUUUACUUUACAUUUUGACAUAAACAAAUCUCUUCGAUAAGUUUGUUUUUGUUUUCAUAUGUGAGAUUAGCAAUGUUGAUCGGGUUACUAUAUCUUGAUCAAGAUGAUAUCGUAUGUCUUAUAUUAGAAUAUGAUCUGUGAAUCAAGGUCAUGUUGAUAUCUAUCUUUGAUUCCAUUAUGUAAUAAUUAGAUUUGAUUCUAUUAAUUGGUUUAAAAUUAAGUAGCUAAGGAAUGAAUUAUUUAGAUUAGCCUUCAUUUAUAAAAAGCAUGAACUUACCUUAAACUCUAGUUCAUCAUAAGUUUGAAAUUAACUGAUUAUAUAUGUUAUAGAUACGAUUGUGGAUAUAUAAAUACAUUAGGACAUUCUCGUUUAAAUUGUACAGAUUGGAUAUCCAGUCCAAUUAUAACUUGAUUAAGCUUGCCUAAUUUGGUUUCAAUUUUAAUUGACAUGAUCAUAAUAAUUUGUAGUUAUGCAAGCUAAGAUGACACCUGAGUAAGUUUCCAUUAUAAUCCUAAAUAAAUUAGGAUAUCCUCGUUUGAAUUGUACAAAUGCUAUGUUUGGUCCAAUUACAACUUAAGUCGGUAAGUCUAAUUUGUGAUAAGUCAAUUUGAAUUUUGAAUGACUUGUGAUCAUAAUGGUAUUUAAUUUGUGAACAGCAUUUUUAUUCCCCAUGAUAACAUUCCAAUUCAAAGAUUCUUUUAAUCAAAUAUUAACAUCUAACUCUAGUCCUAUGGCCUUCAUAAUGAUAAAUUUGGUCAUGAUUGAUAUCGAGUUCAUUUAAUUAGUAAUUCUUUAUCAUGUCACAUUCAAUUAUAUUACCAGUUUUAAUUUGUUGUAUUUAUGUGGUCAUUUCAUCCUAUGUUCUGGAUCAAAUUAUGUCGACAUAGUUAAGAUCAAGUAGAUCAAAAUUGAUCAUCCAAAGGUUUAUUUAGCAUCCAUGAAAUUCACAAAUUUGACAAGUUAAUAUUAAUAUGUAAUUAAAUAUUUCAUUUUCACUUAAUUAAAUCAAGUGAUGCUUUCAUUUUAAUCCAAAUUUUAGUAUUUUGACCAAGUUGAUGUUUCCACAUGAAGUUGACCCUCCAAGGCCACAUUUUUAAUUAUUUGAUUUCUUGCUUGUUUAUUCUUCAGAUUUUGUUUAUCCGUUUUUAUAGAUGACUUGUUUGCUAAACUUUCCUCUCGUAUUCUGAGUUGAUAUUUUAAGGACUAAGAAAUAUUCUAAAAUGGAAUGCUAGAGUUGGGCAUGCUUCUUGAUUUGAUCCAACCAUAUUAUUAUACUUUUAUGGUGCCUUUUCAUUAGUUAUUCUACAUAAGAUGAUCAAGAUUGUAAAUAAUAAUAUACCUUUGAAUUUAUAAUUGAUUUUAAGAGGCAAUGAAAUUCAAUGACAGGGUUCCCCCCGAAAAUGUUUGUACGAUUUCCAUUGUAAAAUAUGUACCUCCAAUUUGUUCUUUUCAUAUAGUGGAACCAUUUGUGAGGUCGAUUAUAUGAGUUUCAAGAUGAAAAGCUUAGACAUUGCUGUUGGAUAAGAGGUAUGCCAACCGAAAGGAAGUUGCUUAUAACUGCAAGCAUUUGAAAAGCAAGAUCUCUACUAUCAUAUGCUUUGCAAUCUAGACUUGAGGAUCACUUGCACCACAAUUGUCUUAACCUUUUUGGGUUGCUCUAAUUGAAGCAUUUCUAACGUCUAAAGAUGUGGCAAAAAGCUUAAGGCGGAGCAUCGGGGAAGACGUCAAAGAUUAAGCUGCAUUGACUUUGUUUGUUUAUACAUUGAUUUUAUUGCACUGGAAACAAAAGGGUCGAGGGGGUGAAAUCCUUUGUAAAGGUUUGAUGUGGUCAAGGAUAUCCUUUGUAAAGGUUUGAUGUGGUCUAAGGAUAUCCGGUGGUAGGGCAUCUUUUUGUUGAAAUCAGGAUCAAUUAGAUUUGACCAUAUUAUUUGGCUUGGAAUUAAGUAGUUAAGGUUUGACAUAUUUUGCUUAGUUUUAUUCUUAAAGAUUUUUUUAUCACAUGUAUAUUUAGUUGACUAAGCUUGGAGUUAGCUAAUUAAGUACCUGUUAUACAUUUUUAGAUAAAGCCGCUUGCGGCAGGCAUGUCAUACAUUGUUAAUUGCACAAAGGUUAUCGCAUAUGUUCAUAGUUUGAAGGUGAGCGAGCACAUGUCGCUGGCGUAGUUGAUGUGUUCAAAGAUUUGGUGGUUAGACAUUUUGAUUAUUUUUUGUGUUCCGCGUAAAAGUUAUUAUUUUUCACUUUGGCAAUAUUUUCUUAAUUUUUUUAACUAUAAUUUUGUGUUCCGUGUAAAAAAAUGUUCAUGUGGAUUUUGGUCGUCUCGUUGGUGUUAAAAAAGUAAGCCGAAGUGGACAACAGCAAAAUAAAUCGGAUGUGCGUUUUGAAAUAAAUGUGUACCCCUAGGGUAUCAAAUUUUAAUUUUGAUGUAUAUAGGCGGAGAGAGAGAGAAAGAGAGAGAGACAGACAGAGGGAGGGUUUGGGUUGGAGAGGUUAAGGGAGAAGUUGAAGGGGAAAGGGAGGCGGAGGCAUGGGGAGGUGAGGGACGUGGGGUCAGGGAAGGGAGAUGCGGAAAGAGGACGAGAGGGUGGAGCCGGAGUGAGGCAGAGUGGAGUGGGAAAGAAGGGGGAGGUGAUGGAAGAGGGGAAGUGGGGGAAGAGGGAGAGGGAGGCGAAGUGCAGCAGGAAGAGGGGGUUUCCUCCGUCACCUCUCCCUCCCCAGUCCCCUCCACCCCCUCACGUCACUUCUCGCGUCCGUCUCCUUUCCUUCUCACCUCCACCCUCUUUAGCUCCACCGCACUCUCGACCUCUCCCCUCCCCUCCCCUCCCCCGCCCUCUUUUGCUGUCACCCCUAAUGUAAAAUUCCAAUCAGACAUGAUGCAAUGUGAAUUUCACUAUAUUCAACUCAGAUUUGAAGAUAUAAAUUGCAAGGUGAAAAUAACCCAAAUUCUGUAGCUGGCCUAUCACCAAAUGGUCUGGUGCAGGCAUGACAAAUGGUAGAACGAAAUCAUCAAGUUUAAAAUCUGUUUCCACCAUCUGAUUAAGAAAGCAAUUUUCCCCAAGCAGCAGGACUGAAAUUGUGUGACCCAGAUUGGAAACGUCUCUGAGCUACCUAAUAUAAAAGCACCUCAAUCACAGGCUCACAAAUAUGUAAUACUGCAGAAAUCAUAAAUCAACUCAUGAUGUGGAAAAGAUACCUUGACAUACAUAAAUAUCAACUCAUGAUGUGGGAAAGAUAUCAACUCACAAAUAUACCAGCAGUUCUGUUUAUCUUGAGCACAACUAGUUCUAGAACUCGAUGGCCAUUCUUUCAUGAUCGGAACAUGAGAGAACCACACGAGUAGAAGAACUAAAACUACAACAAGUGCAAAAUCCAGCAGUAAGUCACAUUUUUACCAGAGCUGCAAAUUGAGUUCCUUAAAGAAAAACACAAGACAUACUACUAGCAAGUCAGUGGCUGGCAGACAAAUAGACAAAGAAAAACACAAGAGCUAAGGGUACAUUACCGCUGGGUCAUUACCAGAGCAAAAACCAGGAUACUGACACAGCUUUUUCCCAGCUGCAGCUGAGAAAACAGAAAAAAAUUGCAAACUGACCCAAGUUUCAAUUGAGGAUGAACCUUUACAAUACGGAAACAACUAGUAAGAUUAGGCACUAUUUAUUAUGUACUUGAGCAAAUAAGUGUUUUAUUGCUCAUCUGUUCUCACCAUACACAAAAUCUAGAGUCACGCCACUUGUAUUGCGAUAAGAGGAGUUAUAUUGCUUGUCUGAUCUCACCAUACACAAAAUCAACCUUUAGUUUGUCAGGCCACUUGUAUUGCGACAAGACCUACAGUGAAUGGAGGAAACUACAAAUUGUGCAGAAAAUCCUUGUCAACAUGACUGAAAGUACAUGGAUAACUACAAAAAAUGUGUUGCAGAUGGGAACAGGAGGAAAAAUCCUUGUCAACAUGAAUCUUGUCUCAGCAUAAAACUUUCAAGGAUCACCUUCAAAUUCAAUUGCUUUUGCCGGUGCAACAACAUAUACUUGCGAAGAUAAGGCUGAUCAACCAGCUAUAAUUUCAACUAGAGAUUCAUUUUUCAGCAUGCAUGCAAGUUGAAAUUCAACACUACUGGAAACCAUUUUCUCCAAUACUAACUUUCCACAUUGGUCAAUUCAACCACUGCAACAUCUCCAAUAACAUCUAAGAGCAUGUGGUUGGUCAGCAAACAUCAAUAACACAGAACACAUUUGCCAUAUUACUAACAAAUGUAUUUGCUCUCUGCUAUUUUGCCUAAGCAUAAGAAAGAAGGGUGUAAAACACAAAUAUGCUGAUUCCGUUCUUGGUCACCGUAUGUGAUAAUUGUAUAUUUUAAUAAAAUAAGAAAAAUAAAACCAUUAGUUUUGACAAAAGACCAUACACAAGUUCAAUAGCUUCUUGUUUGCUAACCCGAUCAUAAUACUCCUAACCCCACAGGAGAAAGGUUCUUCUCUUUUGAGAAGGUUGUGGAUGAAGAGGGAUUCAAACCCUCGAUACUAUGAUUCAUGGCGACAUUGCACCUCCUAAAAAGAAACCAGCUUUAAGUUGUUUGGUUCAAACUUAAAUAAAUUUAUGUUUAAGCACCUUAUCCAACUGUCUCGUUUUGUGCAGCAUCUUUAAUCAAUUAAAUUAAAUGGCAUUUUGAUUUCAGUUCAAACUUGAAUAAAUUUUGUAAGCUCCACUUAUCAUGCUGGCUUUUAGGUCCAUAUCCACCAAAUCUCCCCUCUAGUAAUCCAAUGUUGGCACUGGACUGUGACAUGUUCUUAUAGGUCAAGUAGUAGCAUAAACCAUGUUAACCGCACUGUUGAUAUCUAAUGCAUCAACAUGUACAAGCAAAAUAUUUACGCUCAGAAGCAUUUUAACAAGGAAAUAACUAUUAAAAUUAAAUUUCUGUUUUAACAGUACGAUUAUCAUCAAGAUGAUACCGUAUUGUCAUGCACUUAGCUAGUUUUGCCUAAGUCGUGUGACACCCUUGUAUAGUUGUUCACAAAGGUCAACCUCCCCGAAACCUCCUAUGGUCUCUUAAGACCUACAAAAAAGAAAACGAGUUAGAGAAAGCGUCUUACUCGGGAUCCACAAGCAAUCAUUUCAGCAAACACUUUAUUUCCAAUGCAAAUUACAAAUAGACUUCACAAGCUCUGAACGGUCGCACAACAAAGGGUCCAAAAUGGUCUACUACAGACCGAAAUCCCCAUAAGUGCUUACAUGACACAACUUUUGUUUGCAAGCCUAGGAUGACCACCAAAACCUAAGAAAAUGAGGCUGCUAAACCUACUAUCAACCCUUUACAUGUUGUGCAAAGCAUGAACAAAACCGAAAGACACGAACAUAUAUGAGCAUUACAUCAAACACCUUAUUUACAGUUUUGUCCGUGACAGUAUGGUAUCCUAAUCUCACUUCUGUGGGUUGGGGUAAGGACUUAUGGUUUAAAAGUUCUGAUGAGGCAGGAAAAUGGCAACUACCACAAAUAUCACAUCUAAAUAUUCAAAAUGAUUCAAACAUGCAUAUACAUCCUUUAACAAUAACCUUGUGAUGGUUGACCCAAGAUGACAAUGGGUUUCUGCAAAUUUUUAUUCAAGGACUUGCAUCAAGAAAUCACUUUAGUUUUCAUUUCAGAUGCCAACUCAAAUGUUGUUUCCAAUGGAAAAAUAAGGAUCGACUUAGUAGACAUGUUAAUAUAUAUAGCAUCUUUGAGUGCCAAAGAAAUCCAAGAUUGCUAUGCAACAAAAGUGACAGCAUUCAACUCCAGAACUUGUAUAGACGUCAGUAAGUGACAGUCAUUAGAGCUAUCUGAGCUAUGAUCUACUAAUAUAUAUAUUUGUAUUGGCUGAUUCAGGGGAUGACCCGUAAGAGAUAGGAGAUAAAGACUUGCACCUCAGAGCUCAGACAUGCUCAUCAAUUUUCAGCAUGAAGAGAGUCGGAAGGCAUUUGAUAGAAUAAUAAUCAUGUUUUAAAAAUUUUUGUGGACAUCAAGGAAAUAAAUUAAACUUAAAAAAAGCUAGGAGCAGGAAUAUAGUAGUAGUAUCAUUUGAUAACAAACAUGAUCAGCUGAAACAAGCAAACUAAUAAGACCAGUCAUGUUAUAUUAUUAUACUGCAUCUUAACUAAUUGUAAGCAAAACUUGCAAAUUUUGUCAUGCAACUCUUGCUACAGACAGCCUAUUCCAAUCAAAAUGCACUAUUUUUCAAACAUUCCUCUAAUAGCAGCUAGAGAAAGACUUUUCCUAAAGCUUUUGUGUGUUUGCGUGUGUAUACACACACACACACACACACACAAGUUCCAUGGCUCAUAAGACCAACUAAACACAUUAAACAAGGCAUGCAUAGGUCAGAUUUUUUGACAUCUAAUGUAGCAAAUAGGUUAUAACUACAGAACAUAAAGAAGUUGAAUAGCUUGGAAAUAUAUGAACUUUACAAAUCAAGUAUUCGUACAGUCAUAUGCCGAAAUCCAGCAGUAUAUCUAUACAGCAAACGAUAUCUGUUAGUCGACAAGGAAACAGAUACAACUAUAUUGGACCACCAUGUCAUAUAAGAGAAUAAUGACCCCCUGGCAGUUCGCUUAGUCUCAAUCAACUGAGACCCAUCAAGAAUGGAACAUGUCAGUGACGAAAUUUCUAGACAAUAAGACAAGAGACAAAAAAACCUUACAAAGCACAGCUGACCUCACCUUAGUCUCUGGACUCGAUGUUCCACCAAAGAACAUCAUCCACUAUCUCAAUCUAGGCAGCAUAAAAAUGACUACCAGAAUUUCUAGAUUCUUCCCAGUGUUAAAAAAUUGGUUAUAAAUGAAAAGAAAAAAAAUUGAUGUGAAACUCGGCGAGCCUUUGGUUGAGAGGCGUAUUAGACAGUUAGGUUUCCGCAAAAGCAACAAUGCGACACAUCUUAUACACCCACACAUGAUCUGGGUUGUUGUUCCCGAACGGAACUGAAUACAGGAAAACGAUGACGACGAAGAAGAAAGAACUCCAAGAAUACUAGCAUGCUCGGCCAAAUUUUGAUGGUGGCAGUCUCCUAAUCAUCACUUAAUUCAAGAACUCGUUUCAGUAUGAAAGGAAAGCAAGGAACAAAGAUGAUCGAGAACAAAUUCACCCGGAAGGAUCAAACCCUAUCUAUAGGUGCCGCCGCUUUGCAACUCCCUGAAGCGAUUCAAUAUCUCGAGAUCAUGGCUACCAUCCUUGACGAUCGACCUCAAACGCAAUCUUCUGAGGGCGUCAUUGAGAUGAUCGCUCAACUUUGGGGUUCGGGUUUUCGGAUCGGGGAAUUAUAGAAGAAUAAACAAGCACAACUCCAAGAAAAGUAGCACGCUCGACUAAAUCAUAGCAGUGUCAUCCCAGAUCUCAUCAAAUAAUUCAAGAACUCGUCACUUCCGUCAUUCAAGGUAUCAAAGGAAGAAAAGCGAACAAACAAGAUCAAGAAAAAUUCACCUGAAAGGAUCAACCUCAUUCGGGCUCCUCUCCACCACCUUAGUGGAAUCUUGAAACCCCGUUGCCCCGCCCCAGUCGAGGUGGCUAUCGGUGAUCUGCGGAAAGCCUCUGACGGACGAGGGAGGAAGAAGCGCUAUCUUGAGACGAUCAAUGCUCUUGGGACUGGAGAUUUCGGACAGGGAGACUGGGGGAGCGAGCGUCGGUAGGGAUCUCAGGGAGGAAAUGGGAGGAUCGGGUGGCUAUCAGUGGUCUGGGGAAAGACUCUGUGGGACGACGGAGGAAGAAGCGGAAUAUUGAGACGAUCAAUGCUCUUUGGGGUUGGAGAUAUCUGCCGGGAACGGUACAAAGUCGGUGAUUGCGCAUUUAUACUAGAGCUAUUCACGUGUUUCGCACAUGCUGGAAAAGUAGGGAAGGGGGGAGACGUUGUCAUGCCGCUUACACGACUCAUCAACCCACCACCGCAGCCACCCAUCCUAUCCAUUCAUGACAUCGGACACAAGAUUGAUAUGGAUUCGAUGGUUCCGAUGAAUUCUGAGGGAUUGGUAUGACAAAUUGGUUCCCCCGGAGUCCCCAUUGGGAGCUUCCAGAUUAUUCGGACCUCUCCGCUCCCGGACACCAAAGAUGGUGAUCGCCCAAUUAUUACAUGCCACGCGCCCCGACGCAUAUUACCAGGUGGCGAAGUUAGACGUCCUCGAUAUAACACCACCCGAUAAAUCAACAACGGAGAGAAGACACAACGACAUCGCCGGCCUUCGGUUCGCCCCCGUCCAUCGAAAUCCACAGGUGUGUCCUUCGUUUCGUAGAUGGAUUCGCUCUUUUCUCGACCCUGAUAUUUGGAAACCUAUUGAUUGGUUACUUUUUUUUUUCUUUUGGACUCGUCGCCAUCGAAAUUGAUUCUAACUUGUUGGAAUUCGAUAGAAAACCCGACCUAGUGCGGUAAAGAUCACGGGCUUCGGCUUGUUCUUCGAAGCAAUUGGUGCGUUUCUUUGUUGAAGUGUGAAAAUUUUGUUUCGCUCGUGAUGUUUGUCGAAUCCAUCAUCGGCAGAGGAAUAGAUCGACGACUAAACAGAAGCCCUCGAUCCCCUCGUGUUGGUAGGGAAGCCCUCAUCGGUAGGAAAGAAGAGCGAUGGCUUCCUCGGCACUGAAGGCGGUGGCGGAGAAGGUCGGCCCUGCUUCCCGCAAGCAGGCUCUGACGCUAACCGAUGCUGCGGCUGCGAGGAUACGCCACCUGCUCAACGUCCGUCAGAGGCUUUAUCUUCGUCUUGGCGUCAAGGCCCGGGGUUGCAAUGGUUUAUCCUACAACCUCAACUAUGCUGGUUUGCUCUCCUUUCCCUUCCAAUUAACGUCUGCUGGCUUUUCUCCAAAAACGAUUAAAAGAUUCUAUUUUUGUUAUUUUGAUUAAUAGAGACUGCAAAAUCCACCUUUAUUAUUUGACGGUGCUCCAAUUUGUAUUCUUCUCUCUGUCUCUAUCUCUGUUAUUUGCUAUCUGCUUUGAGCUUUCUAAUGGUGUUAUUAAUUUUUGGUUUUAGUUUCCUUAGAAAUUCCUUUAUGUAGAAUCUUUUAUUGGAUUGUUUCUGUUGGUUUAGAUAUUUGUUUCAGUUUGCUGUGUUGCUUUUACCUCGUGUGUUGGAUGAUACAGCUUCCUUUGUCUUAACUGUUGUUGAAGACGCUCCAUACAGAUGUAGAACAUUUUGGGCUUUAUAAUUGUCACAGGUAUCUUUAUUCCAAAGUCACGCAUGUAGAAUUAUCAAAAGUAAACUUUCAUUUUUAUAGAGAACCUGAAACAAUCAUGGAGAGACUGCAUACCUAAGUGAAGAAAACACAAAUAUUUUGUUGGAUUAUUAAGUUAAAAGCAGUUUGCAAACCAACCAAAAUCUACCAUUCUUGACAUGUAUGGUAGAAUAUCAAGUAUGAAACCAGCAUGUCCUGACAAUUGCAACUUUCACUUGGACUUGUCUUUUCUUGUUGAUUUUAGUUCUUCUAAGGCUAUAAAACCAUCAAGCAUCUGCUAGUAUGCUUUUAGAUUAGCCUGUUGGUGGUUCUGUUAUCAUAAGAGCCUUGACGUAGUCGUUAAUUGACUCAUUAGUUAGUAAAUUCUAGUUGUUUUCCUCCUUCCAUUUAUUUCCUCAUAAUGUUUACUUGUCUAAAAUUUUUUAUGAUGGAGUUCGUAUAUUAGUCUCCUAAUACUUGAGUUACAAUUAGAGCCUUAGUGUAGUCUUCUGUACUAUCACAGAAGUUAAAUUCUGUGUUUUUUUUACCCUUGCUACUAUUAACAAGGACAAGGCUGUAUUUGGUGGGAGAUAUCUGAGCUCUCAUUUUAGAUUAUUUUGGUCAUAUUGCAGUGGAAUAUCCAAAUAACGGUAUUAUAUAGGCUUCAUGUUCAUAGCAUACUCUAUUUUACUGAUUGGAAGUGUCUUUAUUUGAAUUGUGCUUGCUCAAUGGUUGAUGUGAUACGUUCUGAUUUGCAGAUGAGAAAGGUAGAUUUGAUGAGCUCGUGGAGGAUAAGGGUGUCAAGAUACUCGUUGAUCCAAAAGCUCUUAUGCAUGUGAUUGGAACAAAGAUGGAUUUUGUUGAUGAUGCACUCAAGUAGGUUUUACUUGACAAAAUCAGGACGCUUUUCAUUUAUAAUUUGCAUCAAUUUACAUGGUGACAUUUUGAGAUCUUAAAUACUUGAUUACUGCUUGCAGGUCAGAGUUCAUAUUUAUCAAUCCCAACUCGAAGGGGCAAUGUGGUUGUGGUGAAUCCUUCAUGACAAGAAGCAGCAGUCCAAACGUUAAACCAGCUGAUCUAUAGCAUUACAAUGGGACAUCCGAAGGUGGAACCUACCCUUCAGGAACCGAUGUUGCAGUUAUCGUCUGAUUUGAUUGAAUAUGCAAUGACACGAGUAUUGUUUGAUGAUUCAGCGGAUAGCUGAUGAAACCAGUCUGCAGCUGAUUUCCGAUACAAGUAUGCCACGGUGUGGGAUUCUUGCUGAGCAGUCAUCUAAUUACUUUUCCUGUUCUUGUUUCUUUCAAAGAAGGAAAAAAGAAUUGCUAGACAUGAUUCUAAGCAAUUUGAUAUGGUACACACUGAUGUCCAUGAUACUGUAAUUUGGUGCUUGGCACCGCAGGAGCCAUCCAAAUAAAUAUACUAUCUGGUUUCCCAAUGAAAUAAUUUGGUCCGUUGAUGGGCAUUCAGCUGAAGCUCGUUCACCUUCAAACCGAUCUAAAUGAAUCGUAUGGCAUGUCUGGCCCUGUUCCAAGCGAUGCACGGGGAAGGUAAAUCUCAAUACCAAAUCCGCCAUUAUAAUUUAGCGUGCAUCACUUAUUAAGAGCAACGUACAGAGUUCAGGUGAGGCUGCAGGCAUUCGAGCACAUAUAUUGUCGCGCUUGGAGAAAUUUGCGGGCUAUCGAAUCGCUAAUGAUUUUACAGAGCCAACGACGUAGCAAUUAUCUCACGUAUUUUGUCCUAAGCUUCGAAAAUGAACUCUGAAACACAUUUGUAGUAAACAACAUUCUCAUAUAUCAACUAAAUGACCAAAAUAAGAGUACAUUAGUGAAAGCAAGACUUGUUUCUGCUACAGUAUCUCUUCAGUCCGACCAAUAACCGUAGAGUGCAAGAAUAAAAAGAGAGAGAGAGAGAUGCAGACGGGACACCCAAGCUCCUCUUCAAGCUGACCUAACUCAAUAUCAGAAUUUUCACCUCCAAUCCGGAGCACAGGUUGCCGGAAGCUUUUUGCCAGUUGCAACCCAAUAACCAUGCACGGGCAUAAGCAAUGUUCACAAGAAGCUCCCCAUGCUGACCAAAUUACAAUUAAUCAGCCCCCCAUUUCUACCUCUUAUCUAAUGCAUAUUGGAUCGGUAGUUAGUCUCUUAGGGUUCAAUACCAAUAUUUCUGGUUUACACAGCAUUGCUUGUGCGUGAUAUCCUUUGUGCCUCUUCCAGGUCUUUUAGGAACCUGCAUUUUCCAAAAGACAUUUUGUGGAUCAUUGUUUCUGUACAACAUGAAGAAACAUUGCUAAGCAAAUUACUAAUUCUGAAUGGGUCAUGUAAGUUGCUUGUGUUUUCUAGUGAUGAAAUUAGUAAUGCAAGGUUUGUAUAACUCCUAAUGCAUGCCAUUUUCCGCUGCACUCAUGGUUUAAUCAGGCAUAGUUUCAAAUCAUUAGCAUUCAUGUUGUAUACACCAUAGCUAUGAUCAACACAAAAAAUGGCAUAAUGUCUGACCAUAAAAUCUCCAUAUAAAUACAAAAUGGUAAACACAUAUAUGCAUGAUACUCUGUAAAUCUAUUCAUGUUUGAGAAAUUAACAGCUUGUGGCAUGAUAAGUAAUGUCAACUAGCAAACAAACUCGAACAAACCAGAAGAAAGUACAUAGUAAGAAUAAAAUUCAGCUAGAAACCAAUGCAAUUAACUUACCGCUUAGAGUUGAGAACCACAGAGCCUCCAAGUAUGAAACGUGUUCCAGAAUUUGCAGCAUUAUGCAAAGCCACAGUCCGCGCCUCCUCAUAUGUUGUCCCUCCAACAAUGAAUAUCACUACAUCCUGAGGUCUGCAUCACAUAAGCAAAAUAAAUAAUCCAAUCUUUAAAAAGAAAGCAAUCUUUAACAGUAGUUGGAAAAAACACUAUUUUUCAGAUAUAGGUGCUCAAUUCAGAAGUUGCAUCAAUUUAACUUGAUGCAAGUACCAACGUGCUAUUAUAAAGGAAACCUGAAAAAAAGAGCAAUUUUAUUUUGCUAGUAGUAACUCAUGCAACAAGCAUUUACCCAGUUCAAAGAGCAAAAAGGACCUACCAAGCUACAACUAAGGAUUAAACUACUAAAUUAACCAAAUUUAUUGCAUAAAAAAUAGAGAAUAUCGAGCCAUGAAACCUCAGGCUAACAAUCUUCUCAUACAUAUAUAUAGUGGUGGGGGGAAGUUAAUCUCAUUACCCACUGAAAUCAUCAUCCAUUUAAACUACCUAAAAGGGCACUCAGAACUCACAAAAUUGUACCUUGAUAGUUUAUUAUACUCAUAUUGGGAAGUCACUAAUUAAACUUUUAAAAAAUAAGUUUGAAACAACCAGAAAAACAGGAAAGUAUAUCCUAUUACUGCUAGAAGUUGGUGAGGAGGUUCAGUCAAUUAUCUCGUUUCCUAAAUUGAUUAGGAAAGUAUUGACAACCAGUUUCUUCAGUUCUAUUCGAUUAGGAUUAAGCUGACCAUAUUUACACAGCUGCAUAAAUGUCCUUCAGCAAAACCACAUAGGAAUACCCUUUCCCGAGGAAUUUCUGCACCAAGCUAGGAAUCACUCAUAAUGUGUAGACUUUGGGAUAAUUUUGCCAGAGUGAUGCAUUCGAAGGCUGCAACAAGCUUGUCAAGCUAAAUCAUUCUCAGCCAAACCAUAUUUAGCCCUUUUAGAGGUAAAAGAUAGCCAGGGUCAAAUAGGCCUGGCUAUGUACUGGACUGAUUAGAGGUCUGGAAUUAAGUCACAUCAUAACAUAAUUAUAAACAUUGCACAUGGGAUUUUAGUUUGUAAUGUUAUUGAAUAGCUUCUAGAAAUACCAUGUCAAUCCAUCACCUGACAAAAUACACAAUAAUUACAUAAGUACCACAAACGAGAGAUUUUGAGGAUUUUAUAAGUCACUACUCCAAAGGAAUGGAAACCUACAUAAAAGCUGGAGACCAUCCACAUCCAUACAUCCGAGAAGAGUGCAAACACAAGAUGAGAGAACAAAGCAAAGGGAGAAUCAAACAACACAUCAAGUACCACAAACUUGAGAUUUUGAGGAUUUUAGAAGUCACUACUCCAAAGGAAUGGAAGCCUACAUAAAAAGCUGGCUUUAAUUUAACAGUAGGCCUCAGUCAAUGUAUAUAUACCCUAAACUUGAGAUUUUGAGGAUUUUGCAAGUCACUACUCCAAAGGAAUGGAAACCUACAUAAAAAGGUGGCUUUAAUUUAACAGUAGGCCUCAGUCAAUCUGUAGGGUACAUACAUACAUACAUAUAUACAUACAUACAUAAAUAUAUAUAUAUAUAUAUAUAUANNNNNNNNNNNNNNNNNNNNAAUAUAUAUAUAUAUAUAUAUAUAUAUAUAUAUAUAUAUAUAUAUAUAUAAUUUUUAGUAUGCCAUUGUGAUAACCCAGAUAUCUAAAAUAAUGACCAUUAUGGCCAAAUGCCUAAGACAUUUUAAUCAAUAUUCUAGAGCUUUGUUGAUUAAAAUAAUAUUAAGUAGUCAUGAUAGAGCUUUGUUCUUGGAGAACUAUUUAUCUUUCAAAAGAAAAAAAGUGUCCAUGAUAACAAACCUCCCCUGUUGAAAGUGAUUUCCAAUAAAUGGAUAGUCAACAUCUCGUAGUCGCCCCUUGAUGAUGCUUUCCAUUGUUUGAAACAGAAGUGGUUGGUGUUGGGUGUAGACGUUCUCAACACCCUGUCUCAACAUAAAUUCCAUAUUAAAAUGUCCUAGAUGUGGCAAGAGAUAAUGUUGCUGCAUACCUUAAGUCCACGAGCCAUAUUACGAGCAAUGUUCAAGAGAUCACGAUUGCCAUAUAGAUCUCCAGUUCGUUUAUCGAUGCCUGCUUGCUUGAGGAGGAACUGGACAAGCUGUAGGCCAUGAUAAUAAAUAAGAUUAAUAAAUCACAAUUAUGUCCAUGAUGGGCAUAAAAAGCAUAUGUAUUUCCAUACUCAAUAUUAGUUGAAACUAUAGAGAGACUAAAACACUUGCAGGCUGAUUCAAAUUCCAGAAGGAUGCAUGACCAUCAAAGGCAGAGAAUUAAGUAGGGAAAACAAAAGGAUCCUCUUCCAGUUGCAGUCAUGCAACUCAGCAUCUAAAACAAUCACACUUAUACAGAUGAGAUCAGAGCACUAGUUUCAAAGAAGUGCUUAAGAUUUGAUCAGUACUCAAAAUAGAACUAUAUUUUACUUGAGAAGAUUUUGUUGCAUGAUAUUUAAAAAAAUAAUGACAAAAAGCAAUUGGCAUGAUCUGUCAGUGAUACAAGAACCACAUCUGUGUGAAAAGGAUUUAUCACUGACAAUCAAACACAAUACCGAAAACUUGAUUUUGGUGAAAGAAAAACAUCUAUCUAAUUAAUGUACACAAACUUUCUUCUAAACCAUUAAUGACAACAAAGGAAAAAUGAAGUGGCAUUGGCAGGCUACAAGUAAAACCAAGACAAUUCAUUCUGUAAGGACUUAGCGAUACUGCAAAGUCAAAAGAAAUACAAUUUUUUAAUUAAAAAUAAUACAAAUUAAGAAUAAAAAUACAAUGUAGGAAAGAGAUGACUAUUAAAGCCUAAUGCAGAACAGGAAAUUUGUUUGGUCAAGUUACCCCAGGCUUAUACUUAGCAGAAUGAGAAGCUAGUUUGUUAAAAAGCUGCAUCAACUGAACCGGACUCUCCUUCUCAUAGCGCAAGGCAUAUAGCAUUACUAGCCGCAAACGAUCAACAUCAGAAAUAGUUUCAUCAUUCAGAAGCUUGGUGACAGCCUGCAAAAUGGAACAAACCACUAUGUCAGAUAUUGAAGAAACAACAGCUAGACUGAAACUAUUGUGUUGGGCCUGACAAUCAUAAACUAACAUUAAGCAAUAUGAUCCAAUGGUAGCAGUAUUUGGAAGAGUUAUAUGACAAACAAUGCUUGCUCUUUUCUCCCAAUAUACUUCUGUAAACUAUUUUCUAUACCCUUUUUUGUACCGGUGCCACCUGGCAUGAUUUGGUCCUGCACAGGAGGAGGGGGAGGAACAAACAAUAAGAUUGAAUACAAAGUGCCAAGAUGAGGGACUGAACCUUCUACCUCUUGAAAUCCAUCCAGAUGAUUAUCAUCCUGGUAAAAGCAUGAUGACAUCUUACUACUUAUUUUCAAUCAUAUGAUAUCACAAAAGCAUUAAUGGGGCUAACGAUGAGACUUAGCCAAUAAAACUUCCCCCACACUCUCUCUCCCUCCACCCGCAAAUGCGCUUUUCCGCAUAUUAUUUGUAUAUCAAUUAAAACAACAAACCGAAAUUAGAGAUGGGAUCAAAUAGGCUUAGGUACACAACUUUAGAGAUGAAGGAUUGAAAAUGUCUAAAUACGGCUAGGAGUUGGCCAGACCUAUGAUGACAUGUUGGCAUAUCACUUAAAAAUGCAUCACAUCUGAAAUUUUAACUAAUGAAACCUCUAGUCCUUAAAACUUCUUAUGUGUAUAAUGUUAACACGUUAUGCAAACAAAUUUGCCGCCACAUACAAAAUGUCACAAAGAUAUCCUUAAGCAAUUUUUUUUAUCUUCUUUGAACAGAAAGUUGAUCAUCCAAAUUAUAUACUUGAUGAAUUAUAUGGAUGCCAUCUUACUAGUUAUAGCGUCAAGGUAUUAAAAGUGUAUGGAUAUGUGACUUGUGGAAUACCUCAAAAGCUGCCACUUGUCCACCAUUACAUGCAAGCUCUUGUUCUGUUUGUGAAACUAUCAUGAGCUUCCUCUCUUCAACAAUUCUGCUCAUUUCUGUAACCAUUGUCACAUGCUUUGAAACAUUUCCUUGCAUCUUUCUGUACUCAGGGUAGUUGUUCACAAAUUUCAUCAUAUCCUCUACAAGAGGAAAUGUCCAAAAGUACAAUUGGUAAGCUCUAUUACUUGUCAUGCUAAUUAGAGAUAGCAAUAGCAAACCCCGGUCAGUACCUAUCGUUUGGAUGUUCUGAUUACUAUUCGUAAUUUGUUGAAAUUCAUCCACCAUUGUCUUGAUAUUCAUUCCAAGAUCUCCAAAAUUCUCGUACAUGUUAGAUUUAAAGAAGCUAUCUUGUUCUGAUGACAGCACCACCUCCUGUGUCAGACCAACAGCACAUGUAAUAGAUUUUGAAAUAUUGAGGUCAAAUCAAUGAUAGCAAAAUAGGUUAUAAAAUUACAGCAACCUGCUGAUCUUUGGAAACUUUUGGAGUGUUUCUCAGAUCUACUUUAUUAUCUUCAAUUCCAAUCAGCUCAUGUACCAUUGCCUGUUAAGUGUGUAUAGAGAAUUCUGAUUUAAUAAUUUAGAUAAUAAGGAUAGUAGCAGAAACUUGGGUUCCACUUAUGUCAAAUUUACUUGAUAAGUCCAUUGGUUUAGUAACGGUGUAACAGGAUCAUCCCUCCUAUCAAUCACAAGCAACAACGGGGAGAAUUCUGUACGCCUGAAAUCAAACAGACCACUUUCCUGCUCGUACAUAAGCUUCUGCAGCAUGACAACAGUAGGAGUUAAAAACAAGUUCCAUGUGAACAUGAUAACAUUAAAUUAUAGCUAACGUCAGAAGGCACUGGGGAAAAAGAGCAAAACUACCAUGACAAUAAAGAAGCCAUAUCAUGCAAAUUAAUGUAUGACUAAUGGUAUUUACUCACAGCAGUCUCUUGUGCUAUCCUUUUGGCAAUAUCUGAGGCCCGUUGAUACCGAAUAACAGGACGGCGUUUAAGUGCUAAGAAAACUGCAGCAAUGCCAUCAACUGCUCGAUCACAAAAGCUAUGUGAACUUGGAGGGUCCACCACCGCUGGGAGCAUGUAUAUGUGAUUCAUUUGCAUGUUUAAAGUGAAAUGGUAAGGAUCAAUAGCACAAAAGUCAGCAAAAAACUCCUGUGAGGUCAAAAUUAAUACCAUUAUGACAGGAAAAGAAUUCAGCAUAAAUUAUAGGUAUAAGUAGCUUGAACAAAAAUAGAACAAAAUUUUAAUUAACUUGAUGGCAAGUAAAUGCAAAUUACCUGCACUUGAUGGACGACUUCUUGUUCAUCUGAGUCAGCAAGUACUUGAAUCUGGGUAAUCUUCAGGAUAUUGGAAAAAACUACACAAAGACAAAGCUACUAACCUUUUGGCACACAGAUUUAAAUUAAGAAAUUUAUUAAAAAGUCCACAAAGCAUACACAAGUGAUAUUCUCCAAAUCGGGGAUUAGCCAAUUGACGCCGUAACUUUUGAAUAUUCUCUGAUGUUGGGCGAAGAAAGUAAACAGCUUUUAGGUGGGUCAUUGUUUCCUUUGACAUGGAAUCAACAAGUUCCACCAAAAAGACCUCCUUCUUAAGAAGUUCCGAUUGACUGUAAGCAACACUCACAAUGCUGACCUGCAAGUUAUGCACCAUAAAUGUGGUUCUGAAACAUUGCUAUAAAAAAAAAUACAACUUCUCAAAUCCUGCAAUUAAUUUCAAUGUGCCACUUUUCUCUAAGAACAGGGGACAGAACAGCUCCAAAUUCCGAUCAGGUCAAAAUAUGAAACAGAUGCAAACAGUCAUAUUUAGCUAUGACUGAUGGCUAGUGAUCUGUACAAUGUUCAGAUUUCAUGGAAUAACUGAAGUCACUUCAACUACAAACAAAUUUCUGGGAUUGUUGCUCAUGAAACUCUCACAAGAGAUGGUACUGAAUUUUGCCCUUAAACGGAGACACAACAAGCAAAAUGUUCUAUAAGCUUUUUUGAACACUGCGUAUCUGAAAAGAUCAAGGAAAAACACUGAGUUUUGUGGAGAAAGCAGAAGAGCUUUCCCAACUACCAGCGUCUAUAUAGAUCGCUAUACGAUCUGCCAAUUUUUUUUAAUAAUAAUCCUAAGAAUCAGUGCCACCCUUAAGCUCUAACAAUAGCGAGCUGGAAUCCCUAUUUGUCAAUUUCUAAGCUGAAUAACUUUGAUUGGAGCGAUUAUGCAAUAUCCGACAAAUUUUAGAAGAUAGCUCGCCUAACAAUUCCGCCAUUUUCAGACAUCAAAUUUCAGGAUAUUGCGUCGAUUAAAAAAACAAAACAAAACAAAACAAAAUCAGUUGAUGUAAACGAAGGUGCUGUGACGCCAUGAUCAUGGAUCCAGGGCGGCGCCAAAAACAGAGAUCCGAACGAUGAGUACCAGAUCAACGAUUUAUCAAAGAACACGGGUCCGUAGAGAUGCAAUCAAGAAGGGGAUAGCAUCCAAGUAAGACGUACCGUGCUAGAAUCGAGGAUGAGGACCUUCAUGCCAGGGAUGUCCUGCAGCAUCCGCCCUAUGUAGUCGCGAACCAGGGUGAUCAGCACCAUUUCUUCGCCUCUUCUGGAUGGAAUCAAGGAAUUAAGGUCUGAGGGCUGGUUAUGCAGCGGCAGGGGUCGUGGAUCCGGUGGUUUUGUCGACGUAGUUAGGGUUACGAUGGGGUCUUCGACCGCGUAAGGGCUGCGGUGGCGGUCGUUGGCGGCGAGAGGACGAAGGAGGCGGAAGCGGAAGGACGAACGUGAGCAGUUCCACGGGUUGUGCUUUGUUUAUGUAUUUUGUUUCGCUUUGAUCCCAAACCAGACCAUUUAAUAUAGUUCAACAACGAUUCGGCCUGGCCGCAGCGGAGUCGGAAUGAACAGCCAUUGAUCCUGGUAUCAAACGGCGUCAACUUGGGUAUUUGUAAGGAUAGCAAGCGCAUCGUCGGCAGCGUGCGAUUCACGUGGCGGGGAUAUCUGUUUAGACGUCUGAGCGAAGCAAGGAAACCCACUCGAGGUCACGAGCGGGUCCCACCACAUACGUGAACGGCCGGGGCGAGAGCCGCCAUGCCCGGAACCGUGCCCCCGCCCGGAUAACCGAACCUUACCGUUGCGGAGGGAUAAAUUUGUAGUUCAGCAGAGUUUGACAGGACCAGCAGGCAUGGGACGGAUAGCAUUAUUGCCACUUGAUCCGUGAUUCGAUUCUUUACCGUGGCUGCGAACGUGGUGGUCUGUGUAACAGCAGUGCCGGAAAAGAAACCAACUUAGGCUAGCCGACGCAGAGACGUAGAGUAGAAUUUUAGAUGUAGCCCUCCGGUUACCAAAUUACUCGACACAUCGUGACGUUCAUAUGGAUGCGCAGCGCAGCGUGAAGCUAAAUAAUAAGGUGUAUCGGGUUCAUGCUCCUCAAACCAUGUUAUCUUGUAUCUCAGCAAAGGCCCUGCAACCCCCAAGAAUAACAACAUUACUUUUUCUUUUUUUACUUACUAUUCACAGUCCUCUCUUUUCUAUUGAUAAUUCUUAUAUAUAUAUAUAUAUAUAUAUAUAUAUAUAUAUAUAUAUAUAUAUAUAUAUAUAUAUAUAUAUAUAAUCUCAUUAUUACUGAUUCGUUUAUUUNNNNNNNNNNNNNNNNNNNNUUUUUAUUUCAUUCUCGCUUUAUAUCGUUCAACCCCAUUCGUCACCCUCUCGUUGUUAUCCUCCAAGAAGGAAGAAGAAAAAAAAAGAGAUGACAAAAAAGGAAGAAUAAAAUAAUAUUUACGUUUAUUUAUAAAAAAAAUAAUUUAAAAUAUUUGUUUUUAAAAAAAUAAUAUUUUAAAUAGUAAAAAGAAAAUUACAAAUAGCUUUUUUAUUUUUACAUGCUGGGAUCUCUUCUCAUUCCCCCUGAGACAUAUUUCUUCUCAUUCGCAUGGCCAAUUUCUCUUGAGCUCGAAACCAAACCAGAAUGUGGCAGUUGCAAUAGUUGUGUUAAAUAGCCAAAUUUUGCUGCAGAAAAAGUCGUAGGCUCACUGUGCUUUGUUUUUCCUCAUGAAAACACCAUGCCAAAAUUAAUAAGCAAAUGAUAGAUCAUAUAUCGUGCAACGUUAUUUAUUUAUCAGACUUAUACUAUCUGCCUCUAACAAUUCAGGUAACCUCGAUAAUCAUUUAUCAGCUGCUGGUCCUCCGUACAUGUAAUACAUGCCUUCAGUAGAUAUAUCCCAUGAACAGAUAAAGACGCUGAACUGAAUCCCUGCACGCUCUUCUUUCAAAUGCAGAACAUUUUCAUCUGCAGAACUUUAUAGAAAGAAUUCCAUAAGUCAUUUCUCAUAAGAAAUGAUAAAGCAUAAAGUAACCUUUUGAUAAUUCCAUUUGAGCCUAAUCAUCUUAACUAACCCUGAACUUAGCCUCCUCUUGCCGGUCGAUGUAUGCAAGAAGUUCCUCUUGCUUCAUAAGAACUUCAUGCAAAGCCUACAUAGAGCAGACAAAAAGUCAGACUAGUGUUUAAAAAAAGAAGCUUAUUUCCACAUGGAUGUACAGAAAUCAAACUUGCAAAUUUAUGGAACAAAACUAUGAAGUAUCUUAACAUACGGAGCUCCAUGUAAGGUGCUACCAAGGAAAACAGACACACGCACAAUGAAGUGAUAUGACAAAAUAUCUAUAUGUCAAUCGCGUGGAUGAAGGUGGUCACUUAGACAAAUUGAUGUUUCACCAAGUAUACUGCAUUCGAGUUAUGACAAUAAUCAAGCUGCAUGGAUCAUUACUAGAUGAUAAGAAAAUAGCACUGAUCACAAAUAUCAUUUGUGCAACAGGAUAGCAGACUUUAUAUGCAUGUAUUUUGCAAAUAAGAAAUUAGAUCUGCUGUUAGCCUGUUCUUGAAGAGUUAACAAGAUGAAAAACAAAUACCUUUUUGGUCACAAUCAGCUCAACUUCUAAUGCAUCGACACGAUGAACAGCAGCAUUAAGUAACUCCUCUUUCUCCAAAGGCAUUUCAGAUGGCCUUGAUUGAAGAGCAUUCACCUUUUCUUCCAAGUCACUGAGCCUUUUUAGAAGGCAUGAAAAGUCAGAUUCUGUAAAACCAGGAGCAGGUGGGGGGUGGAAUUCCUCUUGAAGCAAUGGUUCCACAGAAACUGAAGAAUCAUUUUGACUUGUCCCAGAAGUUUUCUCCUGGAUUCUCCUCUUCACAUGGCUAGUUAAUGAACAAAUAAGUGCAGCAAGGGUCAUGAAGAAUGUUAUCAACACUGCUAUUGUUUGAGCUCGGAUUCCACUGGAUGAGUUACGAGUUUCCAAUGUAGAGUACUCCCCUGCAUCUAAAAUCACAAGAAUUUACAGAACCCUUCCAUCACCUUAGAGAACAAGGGAAAAUUUUGGAUCAUAGAUCAAGAUUCAAUUGUGCAUCAGGAACAAUGGCAAAAUACAUUGUCCAUUAUGCCACUCAAGUAAAAAGAGCGCAAAAAAGACAUCUACAAGUUAACUACAAGUCAAGUUGGAAGUAGUUUAAAGAUAUAGGCAUGAAAUUGCAAGAUUUGAUCUUUCAAACCAGAAGGUUAGAAAACGUUGCAGAUCAAACAGAAGAUUAGUAUUUGUGGGUUAGUUAAAAUAUGCAAACAUAUAGCAGAUAAUCAUAUGGAGUGGAUCUAUUCACUAGGAACCAAAUUGUCACCUCAUAAAUAUUUGUCCAAAUUUUCUAGAUUGAAACCUUACCUAUCAUCAAAAGGGUUAAAUUUUACUAAGAGCAAGAAAAUGAGUAUUAGCAAUUCCUACAAUAAGCCAUAAGGUCCAAAUGUCUAGGGUCUACUGCAUGGAUAUUUUCCACUAUUGAGAUCCGUCAAAGGCAAUCUCAUUAAAUUAUGAGGCAUCAAGUUGCCUCUAAUUAGAUCUAACAAAAUUUUCUUUCUCUGCCUCACCAAAAAUCACUAUAUGUUAAUUCACUCACCUCAUUUGAUAUUUUAUUUUCCCAACAGCUUUAUAAUUAUGGUAAUGCUGAGAAAAUAAAAGAAAAUGACAGCCAGAAAACAACAAAACUUGGCAUAAGAAAUUUCAGCAUUGCCUUCAAUUAGUAUAUGAUGGUUUAAAUACAUUUGUAGAAAAUGGAAAACUUGUCACAUGAAAUUGCUACAGCAUAUUCACAAACCAUUUAAUGCAUCAAGGCUUUGAUUAUAGACUUCUCUAUUCCAUCCGGCAUCCACGGUUUUAUCUACCAUGGGAAUAUGCUCAUCACACUGUGGAAAGCCAGCAGAAAACCUGUCUGCUUUCACAAUCUUUACCUGUAAGAGGAGAAAGAAAAAGCAUAAAUGUUGUUAUCAUGUUCUUACAAUCACAGUGAGACUUCGUCUCAUAAUAUACUGUUGUACAGCCACUGCUGAUCAUUUGGUCAGAUAGUUGCACACUUGCACAUACAAACUUGGCCAAGAUUCUUAGCACAUAUAUGAGGGGAUCAAAACUUAUAUAUAAAACUAUUCUUCCAUUAGGCUUCACUUGAAGCAGCCCAUAAUCUAAAGAUGCAACAUUGUGGAUAAACAAAUGCCAAUCUGCACAUGUGGAGCAUAUGCGCCUCACAAUCUCGUACCAAAGAGGGUCAUGUCAGGCUGCUUUGGGCUGAACUGCACUUCUGCCCUGAGACGUAGCCAGACGCAAACCACCAGAUGGGCGGCCUCCACCGCAGGCUCCAGGUCGAACUAGCUGUGGACUACGCCGACUGAGUCCAGUUGCAUGCAGCUGGUCUGAUCGAGUCCAGUUGGUAGUCUGACUCAGGUUAGACCCAACCCAACCAACACUUAAACCCCCAAUUCAAAUCAGUUUCGACCCCCCUUUUUUCCAAAUAAAAGUUAAAAUAACUGGUAAUUGAAAGUAUUUAAACUUAAACAUGAAAUUCUCAUGAACAUAUCACAUCAAGUAACUAAUUCAAGCAAAUCAAUUAUCAUGUCACAAUAAUUAAAUUACUUUAAAAAAUUAUCAUGGCAUAAAUUCAUGAUGCAUAAUAAAUCAUUUAAGAUCGCAUGUCACCAUAAUUAAAAUAACUAAAAUGAAUAAUGGCAUAAUUUCAUGAAAUAAAAUAAGAUGAUUUAAUCAACCCGAUCAUCAACUUACAAUUACUAAAUUAAUUCAAGAAAUCAUUAUCAUGGCAUAAUCUCAUAAAAUCCAAAAAAAUGAUUACUAAACUAAAUAAGCAAUAAGAACUUAUACUAUCCAUUGUUUUUUUAAAAUAGUAAAUAAAUAAUAAUAAUUCAAAGAAAGGUGGAGGACCUACCUUUUUAAAGAUGGAGGUCCCUCUCCCACAAAUUGCUGUCAGGCUCCUCAUGAACCCUAGUGAAGAACAUAGGAGUCUGACCAGCUUUAUAUAGGAGAGGAGAUUCCUCUUGUGGAAAGAAAAGAAAAUUGAUUUUUCAGAUUAAUUAAUUUAUUUAUUUGUUAAAUUCCUAACUUGCCCAAACUGUUAAAGAAAUUGAUUUAAUUAUUUUCUUAAUCAUAUUAUACAAAGAAGGAAAUGCUUAUUCCAAAUAAAGCAAAACACUAAUUACAGAAAUUUUAAUUUUGGAAAGAGGAGAAAAAACUUGGUGAUUACAAUCAGUAAUUCCACAACAGCUAGAAUUAAGACUUCACCUUGUUAUUAAACUGAUGAAAGAGGAAGAUAUAAGGCCAACUACAGCUAAAACAAAUACAAAUAUACCUCUUCAUGUACGGGGGUCAAAUGAGGAUAUGAUAGAUAACUCCUUGCUGCCUUUGGAGAAGCACCAUCUUCAGCUUCUGAGCCAGACUCAGCAGUAGAUGUAUCACUACUCUUUAUCUGGCUCACAAGAUUAAAUGACUAAGCCUUCUAAGAACAUAAAAGAUUAUGUCUCAAGAAACGAAUCAUAUAGAGAGGUCUUACUGCUGUAUAUUGUGGCUUGGCAUGAGCAAUAACUUUUCCCUCACCAUUAGAAACAGUAACAACUUGCCGAGCACACUGUGCUUCGCCACCAAGAACCAUCUUUAUACCACCAACAACCAUAUAAUCAUAACAAGCAAAAAGAGAAAUUACAGAAACAGGUAAAAGAGAAAAGAGAUCACAAUCAGAACCUUUAGUAUGUUUGGAUCCAUCCAUGAACCCUUUUCAGAUUUAAGGCAUCCACCCAGAUCAGAACAUAUACAAGAACCACCAAGGAACUCUGGCAACUCGCUGGAGAGACCCCAGAAUGUAUGCCCCAAAAAGGUGAGACUCUUAUGACCAAAUCCCACAAGAAGCAAGAGGCAAAGAACAUACCUAAGUUCAAUUACUUCCAACAGCUUACUUUGGUAUUUGCUUCCAAGAACCUGAAAGAAGUUCGGAUAAAAAUUUUGAAUAAGAUCUUAUUGAAUCUCAUAAAGAAAUGCUUUAUAACACAGAGGAAAUUGCUUACAUAAAUUUUUGAAGUAGUCUUUGGAUCAAGAAAGGAUUUUACUGUGUUCCAUAGCAACCUAAAACCGGGGCCAGCAUUGAUGAUAAACAUCCGGAAUAGUGUCUGCAAAAACAUCAUUUACCAUAGAGGGGCAACAUCAAUCAGGUGAA
RNAcentral lists this long non-coding RNA (51520 nucleotides) under Musa acuminata (dwarf banana). RNAcentral describes it as "long non-coding RNA (MACU_LNC006138)". Lineage: Eukaryota; Viridiplantae; Streptophyta; Magnoliopsida; Zingiberales; Musaceae. The record is from RNAcentral.